RNAcentral lists this long non-coding RNA (51149 nucleotides) under Gossypium raimondii (Peruvian cotton). RNAcentral's name for it is "long non-coding RNA (GRAI_LNC007602)". The record is from RNAcentral. Lineage: Eukaryota; Viridiplantae; Streptophyta; Magnoliopsida; Malvales; Malvaceae.
UACAAAUGCCCCUGCUUUAAAAUUCACAAGCAAUAUUGGUUUUCCCCUAAUUUCUUAACAUCACCACCAAAAAGAUCAAGAUCAACAAGCUACACAAGUCAGAACAAAAUCAACAAUAUUGAAAAUAGACACUAAACCUCAUUCUAGUUUCCACAAUCUUUUAUCACUGUGCAAUGGUUAUGUACAACUGAUUCACAUUGCAAGUGAUUAUCUUUACACAAUUUGUGAAACAUUUCAGAGCAAGAUUGAUUUAUUAAAGUAUAUUAUAAGAUUCAUAAAUAAGGUGGCAGUGAAUAUAUCUGCAGAAAAGCCCUUACCAACCAAUUCCGUAAGAAGUUGUGUUGCCUUUGAGGUAUAGCUGUUGCGAAGGAACCCCCGAAUCAUUACAUUAUAACAGCAGCUAUCAGGCAAACAGUCGUUAUCUCCCAUGCUCCCAAACAACCUGUAUGCUUCAUCUGGCAAUCCCUCUUUACACAGUCCAUUAAUCAUUAUACGAUAUGUGACAACAUUCGGUUUUAAACCAUUGUCUGAGAGUUGAUGAAAUAAUUCCUUGGCAAAUUCGAUAUGCCCAGCUUUGCACAACCCAUCAAUUAGGAUAUUAUAUGGGACAAUAUCAAGUUCCAACCCACCGUUUCGCAUUGCUUGAAAAAGUUUCAAUGCCUCCUCAAUAUGACCUGUUUUGCCUAAACCAUUCAGCAAAAUCAAACAGGUCGCUAUAUCUGGAACUUGUCCAGAAGCAAGCAUCUUUCUAAAAAGUUCACAUGCAGUUGAAACUCUCCCUAACUGAAACAUACUUUGCAAGAGAGUGCUGUAUGUGACAAUAUUCGGGAUUGGUCCCUUUUGAGAUAUUUCAUGAAAGAGUUCCAUUGCUUCAUCUAACCUCUUAGCUUUGCAAUAUCCAUUGAUCAUGGUGUUGUAAGUAACUAUAUCAGGUGCACAACCCUUCUCAAUCAUCAAGUUGAAAACUCUUCUAGCUUUAUCCAUUUUGUUCUGCAAGCAAUGACCAUUAACUAAUGUAUUAUAGGUAACAACAUCAGGCUCGAUUUCUCGCUUUAUCAUUGCGUCAACAAUAUCCUCAGCUUCAGAGACCAACCCUUCCUUGCAAUGCGCAUCAACCAAUGUAUUAUACGUGACAACAUUAGGCUCAAUGCCUUGCUUUCUCAUCAUGUCAACGGUCUCUACAGCUUUAGAAAUCGUUCCUUCCUUGCAAAGAGCAUCAAUCAGUAAAUUAUAUGUGACAAUAUCAAGUGAAAUAUUGUUAUCAACAAUUUCAUUCAAAAGCCUUGUUGCCUCCUCCUGCUGGCCCAAAUUACACAUACCAUGAAUUAAGCAAUUGUAAGUAAAGAUAUCUGGUCUAAUGCCUUUAACCUUCAGUUCGGAGAAGAGAUCAAGAGCCUCCUGUAACAAACCGUUCUUACAAAGGCAGUCAAUGACGGUGCUAUAUGCUACAUUAUUGGGUUCAUAACCUCUGCUUUCCAUCAACCUUAGAAACCUAACAGCUCUACCAAUAUUACCGGUCUUACACAACCCCUUAAGCAUUGUACUGUAAACAAUCAAAUUAGGUUGAUACCCUUUUUCAGUCAUUUCAUCGAACAUACAAACGGCCUCAGAAAUCUUACUUUGACUACAAAGCCCAUUAAUCAAAGUUGAAAAAGUUACAGCACUAGGUUCAACACCUAACUUCAGCAAUUUCCCCAAAACAGAAAACCCAAAAUCAAUUCGACCUAAUUGACAAAAGCAAUUAAUCAAGAUGCUCAUAGAAUAACUAUCGUGGGAAACUCCCAAUAAUUCGAUCUGUCUAUACUUAGAAACAACAAUGGCAUAAUGUUUCAUCUUAACAAUGGCUCCUAAUAAUUUAGUGAAUUCCACAAUUGAAGGCUUUGGGUACUUUUCAAUCAUCAUAUUGACCAAACUCAAAGCAUGAUCAACAUUAUCGAAGCGGUGGUCUCUUUUUCCCUUUCCUCUAACAGGCAUGGACAUGGGUUUCUUACUUAGGCAUUCGAUGUGGGUAGCAAUAGUGCUAGAAGAAGAAGAAAAAUAGUGGAAAUUAGAAAGAUGGCUUCCAGCAUUAACAACCGAACGAAGAAUAAAAGAACAAGGAAGCUUACCCAUAUCUUGAAAGUAAGCAAAAUGAAAGCAGAAAUGGCAGCGGCAGUAGCAGAAGAAGUGUAAAUUUUGGGCUGCGAAGUGGCGUUUAGGGAAAGGGUUGGGAGCGUAAUUUGGGUUUUUUUAUUUUAUUUUUUUAAUGUGAAUAAUAUUUAAUAAAAAAAUUAAACUUUAUUUUGAAAUGCAAUCUUCGAUUAUUAUUAAUAUUAUAAUAUACUUUUAUUAAAUUUAAAUUUAAAAUUUUAGACUAACAUGAAAAAAUAUACUAAGAUUAGAAUACAAUUAAAACUAACUUGAAUUCCACACUUGGAGUUAAAAGAUCUGAGCAAUAUCAUUAGGCAAAUUUUCAAAGAGACUCAACACCAUUCCUAAAUUUCUUCCAAUCCUAGCCAUAGAGUUUGCAACUUUGUCAUGUAGUUAUUGUCGAAACCGUCUUUUGAAAAACAAAAAUUUUGUUGUCGACUUUUAAAAAUAAAACUGGAGUUGCCACCGAUCCUUUAUUAAGGUGUGACCGGCCCACCUUAAAAAUUAUUUUGGUCUGCAAAUUUUGAAAAUAGGUUCGGGAGUCAAUUACGCACGAGAAAGGGUUAGCACCCUCGUAACGCCCAAAAAUCGGUACCAAAUUGACUAUUUAAUGUCUUAGUGUCGAAAGUUAAAAAAGAUUUUAAAAUAAGCUUGAAUGAUGAAAUUUGCAAAAGGAUAACCAAUUGUUCAAGUCAUGUAAAGAAAUCGAGUCCCAAUACGUUAGGGUACAAUUCCUCAUAAUCCCCGAACUUUGGAUAUCUCUAUUAUUUUAUACGAAAAUCUUCAUUUCAAGAAAGUAACAUGCCACACCCAAUACGUUAGGGCACAACAAGUUAAGUUCCCAAAAAUGAUUUUUAUGCAUUUUGAAUAAAAUCUAUUCUCGGUCAUUUAGGAUUGACAAAGAAAAUCAGAACCCAAUACGUUAGGGCUCAAUUUCCCUCGAAAAUCCCAAACCUCCAAUAAUGCUUUUAUUCAAAAAAAAAACUUUGAAUCAAGAGAAAACAAUUUUGAUGUUUUGUCAAAGCCGAAUAUAUAUUCUCGUUUAAAAAGAAAUGACAAAAUGUUAACAUACACAAUGAAAUAAACACUUUAAUAUAUUUACAAAGUAUAUACAUAUAUAAAUAUAACGUAUAAGUAAAUUCGCAGAUAUGCGUAUGCAUAUGUUAAAAUACAUACAUAUAGGCGAACCUAUAAAAAGACAAAAUUUAAUAAUCUCUAAAAACAUGUUAUGAGCAAGAAUAAGAAAAAUGCCUAUGUAUGUAUUAAAAAUUGUGAAAAUAAAAUAAAAUAAAAUAAAAAGUAUGUGUAUGUACAUAUAUUUACAAAAAUAAAAAAUGUAUAAGUAUACAUGUACUGGUAAAACAUGAAAAUAUGUAUAUGUAUAUCAUAAUACUUAUAUAUAUAUAUAAUGAGUACAUAAAUAAUGGAAUAUAUGUAUAGAAUAAUAAAAUAUUUAUAAUGAUUCAAAAGCAUGAAAAAAAAUGUAUAUAUAUAUUUAUAAAAAUGCAUAUCCUGAAUCACCAAAUAUAGGAAACACGUGUGUAUUUAAAAAUGUGUAUAUAUACAUUUAAAUAUAUAUUUUAAAAAAUGAAAAAAACAAACAAAGGAAAAAAACGUGUAUGUAUAUUUUUAAAAAAAUGAAACUAAAAUGUUUAAGUAUAUAUACGUAUUAAAAAAUAUUUGCAUGUACAAAACGUAUGCAUGCAUUUUAUAAACGUUAGAAAAUAUUAUAAAAAAUAUACAUAUAUAUUAUAAAAUACAUAUAAAUAAUAUAAUAAAUGAUGCAAUAAUAGUGAUAAAAAUGAAAUUAAAAUCAGAUAGAGGACCGAUUUGCAACACGCGAAUUAUAGGAGGGGCCAAAAUGGAAAUAAUCUGCCCCUCUAAAACACUGCGCCGCAAUAGGGACUUAUUUGAAACAAAAAUAAAACACGUGGCCAAAAUCAAAAGAAAUAAAAAGUUGAUUUAAACAUGCUUCUAAAAAUCAAGGGACUAAAUGCGCAAAUUAACCAUUCGGCCAGAACGCGCGGAUCCUCCCCUCCGGGUCGGGUCACUGCGCGGGUCGCACCUGGCUAAAACGGCGUCGUUUCAGUGAUGCUAUUUAAAACUGUUUUCUAAAAAAAAACAUUUGAAACAGAAUGAAAAAAAAAUAAAAAAAAACCCCAAAUGCUAUGCUAGUGUUUUCAAUCCCUAGCCCUUUGCGCCGCCGUUCAUCAGCCUCCCCACCCAAAGCUCCGAUGACGGCGGAGAUGGUGGUGGCACGACGACCUCGGCGAACAGGUAAGCUUUUUCUUUCUUUUUUUUUGUUAUUUUAGGUGAAACAAAAAGAAAAUAAAAGAAAAUAAAAAGAAAUAUAAAAAAAUAAACAGAAAUAAACGAUGAACACUACCAAAGUAAAAACCUUCGAAAAAAGCAAAUUUGAUCUGUAUUUCCCUCUAUUUUCUUGUCUCCUUUUACACUCAAAACCCCCUUUUUACAGAUUUUUCACGGCUUUAAAUAGCCGAAAUGGAAAAGGAAAAAUGAACCAAAUCCCACGAAUAGAAAAUCUAUUAUGUUCUUAUUGGCGUGAUUUUUGCUAUUCUGUUCGCGUUUGUUGCUACAGGUACAAGGCGAGGCGAGGAAGGCGCGUAACUCGCGCGGAGAGGGACCCUGUCCCCGAGUCGUGCGGCGACUGGACUGCUGGAGGCGGCGGUCAAGAAUUUUCUGUUUAGGGUUUCGGUAGCUAGGGUGUGGGCCUAGGUUUAGUUUAUUUUUGUUUUGUAAUGGUCUGGGCCAAUUGGGCCUUAUUACAGCUGCCCCUCUUUGCUCGUUGUCGUGUAACGGGAACAGAGCAAAGACUAUAAGCCCAAUUGUGCCCAGUCUUACUAAGCCUCAACUCCUUCAGUGCUUCUUUCUUCAGGUAGCAUCAUUCCUUCCUACUGCAUCUUCAGAAGUAUAGGAACCAGUGCUUCGAUCCACUCCACUGCGACGUCAGGGAGAUAGGAUUCGUACCUUGUGGCUUCUCAAAAGAACAAAAUUUGCUAUUUUUAGUCUGUUCCACUACAACUUCAGGGGGAUAAGGCUUAUAGCUUCAACUUGUUUUGUUACAACUUAAGGGUAAAUCUGAUGUGAUCUGCUCUACUGCAACUUCAGAGAGAUGAGAUCUGCGGUUUUAAUUCACUCCAUUGCAACUUCAAGGAAAUAGGAUUGGUUACUUUUGUCUGCUCUACUGCAACUUCAGGGAGAUAAGACUGGUAUCUUCGAUCUACUUCACCACCAGUAUGGGAAGGCAAGAUUUACUUUUUCCGCUCUACUUCAUGCCAAUACAUGAAGACAAUGUCUGCUUUUUUCGAUCGAUUCCACUGCUGACCGGGGAAAUAGAAUUACUAGCUUCAAUAUACUCCACUGCAACCUCAGGGAGGUAAAAUCCACCAUCUUUGAUCUACUCCACUAUUGCUUAGGGAGAUAAUAUCUGUAAUCUUCAAUCUAUUCCGCUGCAGCCCAGGGAAGUAGAAUUACUGGCUUCAAUGUACUCCACUGCAACCUUAGGGAGGUAAAAUCCACCAUCUUUGAUCUGCCCCACUACUGCUUAGGGAGAUAAAAUCUGUAAUCUUCAAUCUAUUCCACUGUUGCCCAGGGAGAUAGAAUUACUGGCUUCAAUGUACUCCACUGCAACCUCAGGGAGGUAAAAUCUACCAUCUUCGAUCUGCUCCACUACUGCUUAGGGAGAUAAAAUCUGUAAUCUUCAAUCUAUUCCACUGUUGCCCAAGGAGAUAGAAUUACUGGCUUCAAUGUACUCCACUGCAACCUCAGGGAGGUAAAAUCUACCAUCUUCGAUCUGCUUCACUAUUUAUGUAGGAAGGCAAGAUCUGAAAUCUUCAAUCUAUUCCGCUGCUGCCUAGGGAAGUAGAAUUACUGGCUUCAAUGUACUCCACUGUAACCACAUUGAGGUAAAAUUCACCAUCUUUGAUCUACUCCACUACUGCUUGGGGAGACAAGAUCUGAAAUCUUUAAUCUAUUCCACUGCUGCCCAGGGAAGUAGAAUUACUGGCUUCAAUGUACUCCACUGUAACCACAUGGAGGUAAAAUUCACCAUCUUUGAUCUGCUCCGCUGUCUAUGCAGGAAGGCAAGAUCUGCUAUCUUCAACCUGCUCCACUGUCUCCGAGGGAGGCGAGGUUGGUGUCUUCGAUCUACUUCACUGUCGAUACAGAAAGGCAAGAUCUGUUAUCAUCACUGAUCUGUUCUCUGGGGAACAUGACUUGUAUAAUAAACUUUAUGAACCUAAUUAUGCCUAGUGAUUAGGAUGUCAUGAUCAGAAUGAAUCAAAUGCUCCUAACUAGGCAUGUAUGAAUGACAUUUGAAUGAAUGCAGAAUGUCAUGAAAAUGAUAUUUUAGCGCUUGGGUUAUUAUUACUCCAAGUUUAUUAAGGUUUCAUCACUAAUGUGUUAUAACACCUUCUUGCUCAGCUGGCGUCUCCAAAGAAACACUUAGUCAGAUUGCCCCCACUGUAAACCUCCAAGUUUGAUCCACUGGGAUACAAAAUAUGUAUCAUCUUUCUCCUGUUGUAACCCAAGAAUAAAAAGAUUCGGCCUUUUCUCAAUCCUCUGCUAUCACAAUUCAAGGAUACAGGAUGUGAAACUUUUGGUCUCUCACACCAUUCCCAGGGUGUCCUGCCAAAUGCUCAUGCACAAAUGAAGAAUUUUCUUAUCCAAGAACAAUUUCUUCUCAUUAUACGGUGAUCAUUGCUUGCUUGUUCAUUGAAGCUUUGUCACCAUCAUGACAUCUUGCCAUUUUAUUCAAUUUAGACAAGAAAAUUCAAAGGGAUAGUCUUUAAUUUAGACUCUUCUUUAUCAGAUUUCCAACCUGGUGCGUUCUAAACAAUAGUCCUGUUUAAGGUUCCUAUAUUAUUCAGAGACUUCUAGAGUAAUAUGCAAAACUUCCCUUGUGAAAGUUUUAUUAGUCCAUUAAUCAUUAUUCUAAUGCAACAUGCUUGCAAAAAAGAUCAUGGAUAAGAAUUGAGUUGGUUCUGAGCAUAACUCAAAAUGAAUAAGUUGUUAAAGAUAAUAAAGAUGGAUAACAAAGAAAUUGAUUUAAGAAUGCAUAUCUUGGAAAUGAAUGAAGUGUUCCAAGAAUAACAAAAAAAAUAAUAUAAGGAUUAGGUGCCCCAAAUAUCGCAGCUUGAACUUCUCUGUACAGACCUUCUGAAGAUCAUUCUGAGUUUAACAUGUGUUUAGGAGAUCUAUAGUACUUUGUCGAUGCCCCAAGAUGUCGCUUACCCUUUCCUAUUGAUUCAGGUAUAGCAAGACCACUGCAUGCCCCAUGCUGAUCAGUAUUUGAGCUGCUCUGAUUUCCUCAUGCCCCAUUCUGAUCAAUAUUUGAGCCGCCCUUUUUGGGUUUUCAACUCAAAUCCCCUUUGGUCUCAAGGUGCCCUUUACGGGUUUUGACCUUGGCCUCUCCAUUUUUCUCUUUUUCUCUUUUUUGAUUUUUAUUUUUUUGGACUCAAAGCACCUUUUGUGGGUUUUCACCUUGGUCAUCUCAUUCUUUAAGCGGAGUAUUUCCUGACUGAACCUGAGUUUACAGGACUUUGCAGGUUUAUUAUCCAUCUCGCUCAAAAUUAAAGCUCCUUUGGAAAAGACCUUCUCUAUAACAUAAUGUUUUUCCCAAUUUGGCAUCCGUUAUAUUUUUUGUAGAGUGAGGAUCUUCUUCAGCAUUAGGUUGCCAUCAUGGAAUUCUCUGGGACAAACCUUUUGCUAUAGCCUCGCAUCAUUCAUUUCUUGGUACAUCUGACCCUGAUGAAUAGCUUUUAGUCUUCCUCCUUCUAUCAAGUUCAAUUGAUCACAUUGCGAUUGGAUCUAUUCUGUUUCAUCCAACUUGCUCAGCCAAUACCCGGAGAGAAAGAAUUUCAAUUUCAAUGAUGAACUUAAAGAGAGAGGCACUACUCCGAUAGAGUUUUCACUGCAUCAUUCUUGAACAUACUGCAAAUUUCUGAUAUCGGACUGUUGUUCAGAUUGCAAUGACAGCGCUUAUGUAAUACCCCUACCCGUAUUCGUCGCCGAAAUAGAGUAUGAGGCAUUACCAGAUUUUACCGAAUUUUUUUUUUCAAGAUAGAUUUAUCAUUUUCAUAAGAUAAUUUCAUCACAUACCAAAACCAAAAUUUGUUAGCCAUACCAAUGGCUAACCAUACAUUCAUUUCACAUUAACAUCUAAUUUACUAGCUUAUACAUGCCAUUGAUUUCCAAAAUAAAGUUCCUUUAUGUACCGAGAUCUCGAGAUUGAUAGUGUGAUGUGUCUCCGACCAAAUCCGACCUCCGAGCUCUUAACUCUACAAACAGGGGAAAAGAAACAGGGUAAGCACUUUGUGCUUAGUAAGUUCAUGCAACAGGAAUUAUACUUACCAUACUUAUACAUCCAUCAUUUAAUAACACAAGCACACAUCCAAUUCACAUAAACAUACACCUAUCACAUACAAACUCAACCUCAUACAAAUUCAUUACAAAGAUAAAUGAUUGAUGAGCUCAUCAAUUCCAUGAUUUCCAUUUCCUUGUUAUUUUUCCAUAUUUAUCCCGUUGAACUACUUGGAAUUUCGAUGGAUAUUCAGGGGUACACCUAAGUGUACAAAUCCGGGUCCGUCAAUUCAUAUUCAUGUGCGCACAUUUCCAUUUCAGAGAGCACACUCCCGCGAACCUCAUCCUUACAGCGGGAUUACCAGUCCAGGCUAAAUCCCCUGUAAUAUAAACUCACAAAGUAUUGUCGGGAUUACCAGUCCAGGCUAAAUCCCCUGCAACGACUAUAAUUUUGUUCAACCUAUAGUUGUAAUUUUGAAUUUAGUAGAACAAAAUAAUAUAAAUUUUACAUGGUGUUCAAUGAUGGUAUUGAUUGGUUAGCAAAAUCAGCUCUAAGGAUAGAGGCAUUUCGAUCUUGGAUGAGCAUGUUGUUUGUCAUCGGUGCAAAGUGGAAUCUAAGGAUGGUAGUCACAUUUUUCUGAAAUGUGCCCGAGUUAACAAAUUCUGAGAUAUUUUAUCAUUUCUUUCGUUAUGCUUUAAUAAGUUUGGUGUCUAAACCUCUGUUUAAUUGGUGGUUGAUGUCUAUUAUGGUUGCCUUGUGGACCAUCUAGAGUGCAAGAAAUGAUUCCAUGUUUAGAGGAAAUGAUUUUAAUUUGGAGUACAUUUUUUUUUCUGGUUGAAUUAAGAUCUUUGCAUUGGAUAAAAGUCUUGCCAGAAUGUAUGAAUUUUGUUGAGUCAAUGUAGGAGGAAGGGGUGUCCGCGAGAUUGUGAAAGGAGUAUCUGUAGCCAUCAUACUAAGAGUGUGACGCGUUGAGAACCUUCAAAUGAAGGCUGGUUAAAGUUUAACGAUGAUGGUUCAACAUUAGGUAAAUUUGGCCCGACGGGAUGUGGAGUGGAUUUUAGAAAUUCAAAGGGUCAUGUCAUUGCUAUGUUUUAGGUCCCUAAGGCGUCCAAGAUUCUAAUUUCACUAAAAUUAUGGCGAUUAAGUUAGCUCUUCAUUUCUUCUAAGACUCCCAGUGGCUUAAAGACUAAAAGCUUAUGGUUGACUCCGACUCCAUAGUCGCGCUUACUUGAUGUAUCAAUGAGAAAUCUAGGCCUUUGAAAUAUUGGCACAUUUUUGCAAGCAUUGAUGAGAUUAAGAUGUCCAUUCAUGAGGUACUGUUUAGAAAAAUUGGGAGAGAUGCUAAUGAUAUGGCAGAUUCGUUAGCAAAAUUAGGGUGCUUUCAAUCUCAAAUGUUUUUUUUGUAGAUUGGUGAUGAGCAUCGUUGAGUUUAAUUGAGAUGAUAGUUUCAUUGUUAUUUCAUCGAAGAAGAUUCACCAAAUCAAGCGAUUUUGUGCCUAUUUCAACGUCAGUGCUGCCAUUUUAAGGUGUGCUGCAGUUGCAAUAAUCAUAACCAAUAAUUCUAUAAAAAUAAUUAACUAAGUUUGAUUAAAGAUAAAUACUUUAUUUUACGAUAGUUUUGGUAAUUAAAUAAUGAAAAGAAAUUUUUUUUCUGUUAUGAAAAUAUUUAUCUUGUGUCUGUUUCACUUGAAACAAUUUCCAAAAAAUGAGUUCAAGAAAAUUUAUUAAAUACUGUAAAAUGUUUUACAUAAAAUCAUUAGGAAAAUAUUACAUUUCUCCGAAAAGCAUACUAUUUUCCGGAAAUCAUUUUCCAGAAAAUGUUUUCAAUCAAACAAAGAAACCCCAAAUUUGAUUGAAUUCCACACUUGGAGUUAAAAGUUCUGAGCAGCCGAAAAUUAUACGGAUGCUAUUGUCAUUGCUACAGAAACUGGUUUUCCCCUAAGUUCUUACCAUUACCACCAACAAGAUUCUCACUUGCAACACAAAGUCAGAACAAAAUCAUCAAUAUUGAAAAUAGACACUAAAACUCAUUCUAGUUUCCACAAUCUUUUAUCACUGUACAAUGGUUAUGUACAAACUGAUUCACAUUUGCAAGUUAUGGUCUUUACACAAUUUGUGAAACAUUUCAGAGCAAGAUUGAUUUAUUAGAGUAUAUGAUAAGCUCCAUAAAUAAGGUGGCAGUGAAUAUAUCUGCAGAAAAGCCCUUACCAACCAUUUCCGUAAGAAGUUGUGUUGCCUUUGAGGUAUAGCUGUUGCGAAGGAAACCCCGAAUCAUUACAUUAUAACAGCAGCUAUUAGGCAAACAGUCAUUAUCUCCCAUGCUCCCAAACAACCUGUAUGCUUCAUCUGGCAAUCCCUCUUUACACAGCCCAUUAAUCAUUAUACAAUGUGUGACAACAUUCGGUUUUAAACCAUUGUCUGAGAGUUGAUGAAAUAAUUCCUAUGGCAAAUUCGAGAUGCCCAGCUUUGCACAACCCAUCAAUUAGGAUAUUAUAUGGGACAAUAUCAAGUUCCAACCCACUGUUUCGCAUUGCUUGAAAAAGUUUCAAUGCCUCCUCCAUAUGACCUGUUUUGCCUAAACCAUUCAGCAAAAUCGAACAAGUCACUAAAUCUGGAACUUGUCCAGAAGCAAGCAUCUUUCUAAACAGUUCACAUGCAGUUGAAACUCUCCCUAACUGAAACAUACUUUGCAAGAGAGUGUUGUAUGUUAAAAUAUUUGGGAUUGGUCCCUUUCGAGAUAUUUCAUGAAAGAGUUCCAUUGCUUUGUCUAACCUCUUAGCUUUGCAAUAUCCAUUGAUCAUGGUGUUGUAAGUAACUAUAUCAGGUGCAGAACCCUUCUCAAUCAUCAAGUUGAAAACUCUUCUAGCUUUAUCCAUUUUGUUCUGCAAGCAAUGACCAUUAACUAAUGUAUUAUAGGUAACAACAUUAGGCUCAAUGCCUCGCUUUAUCAUUGCGUCAACAAUAUCCUCAGCUUCAGAGACCAUCCCUUCCUUGCAAUGCGCAUCAACCAAUGUACUAUAUGUGACAACAUUAGGCUCAAUGCCUUGCUUUCUCAUCAUGUCAACGGUCUCUACAGCUUUAGAAAUCAUUCCUUCCUUGCAAAGUGCAUCAACCAAUGUACUAUACGUGACAACAUCGGGCUCAAUGCCUUGCUUUCUCAUCAUGUCAACGGUCUCUACAGCUUUAGAAAUCGUUCCUUCCUUGCAAAGAACAUCAACCAAUGUAUUAUACAUGACAAUAUGAAGUGAAAUAUUGUUAUCCACCAUUUCAUUCAAGAGCCUUGUUGCCUCCUCCUGCUGGCCAGAAUUACACAUACCAUGAAUUAAGCAAGUGUAAGUAGAGAUAUCUGGUCUAAUGCCUUUAACCUUCACUUCGGAGAAGAGAUCGAGAGCCUCCUUCAACAACCCGUUCUUACAAAGACAGUCAAGGAUGGUAUUAUAUGCUACAAUAUCGGGUUCAUAACCUCUGCUUUCCAUCAACCUUAGAAACAUAACAGCUCUACCAGUAUUACCGGUCUUACACAACCCCUUAAGUACUAUAUUGUAAGCAAUCAAAUUAGGUUGAUACCCUCUUUCAGUCAUUUCAUCGAACAUACAAACGGCCUCAGAAAUCUUACUUUGAUUACAAAGCCCAUUAAUCAAAGUUGAAAAAGUUACAGCACUAGGUUCAACACCUAACUUCAGCAUUUUCCCCAAAACAGAAAACCCAAAAUCAAUUCGACCUAAUUGACAAAAGCAAUUAAUCAAGAUGUUUAUAGAAUAAACAUUAUUCCCAAUAAUUCGAUCUGUCUAUACUUAGAAACAACAAUGGCAUAAUGUUUCGUCUUAACAAUGGCUCCUAAUAAUUUAUUGAAUUCCACAAUUGAAGGCUUUGGGUACUUUUCAAUCAAAUUAUUGAACAAAAUCAAAGCAUGAUCAACAAUAUCGAAGCGGUGGUCUCUUUUUCCCUUUCCUCUAACAGGCAUGGACAUGAGUUUCUUACUUAGGCAUUCGAUGUGGGUCGCAAUGGUGUUCGAAGAAGAAGAAAAAGAGUGGAAAUUAGAAAGAUGGCUUCCAGCAUUAACAACGGAACGAAGAAUAAAAGAAGAAGGAAGCUUACCCAUAUCUUGAAAGCAGAAAUGGCAGCGGCAGUCGCAGAAGAAGUGUAAAUUUUGGGUUGCGAAGUGGUGUUUAGGGAAAGGGUUGGGAGCGUAAUUUGGGUUUUUUUAUUAUUUUUUUAAUGUGAAUAAUAUUUAAUAAAAAAAUUAAACUUUAUUUUUAAAUGCAAUCUUCGAUUAUUAUUAACUUAUAAAUCUGCCUUUUAAAUGUAAUAAAAUUACUAUUUACUUUUAAAUGGUAUUAACUUCAAAAGAUUUUUAGACUAACUUUAAUAAAAUUUAAAUUUAAAAUUUUAGACUAAGUUGAAAAAAUAUACUAAGAUUACAAUACAAUUAAAACUUAAAUCUAUAAAAUACUCUAUUUUUAUAAUUUAUAUUUUGUCGAUGCAUCUAAGAGCGAGCAAAAUUUGAUUUGAUUAAAACAAAUAAAAAGUAAAAAUCAAAUUUCGAGUUCAUCGAAUCGAGUUAUUCAAUUUUUUCGAGUCAACUAGAAUAAGUAAUUUGAGUUUCGAGUUUAAAUCGAUCCGAAUUCCAUAUUUCUGUAUUGGUAGAUUUAUCGUUUAGUGAUCAUUACCUGGUUGAGUUUGCAACCAAUCCACUACUUUGGCGAGUUUUAGACAUUUCAUCAUUCUUGUGAAUACUUACUUUUCUUUGCACAUAUUGCCUUAUUUCCUUUUUCCACACAUCCUUGAUUAUUAACAACCAUUUAACUCAUAAUAGUCCAGGCGCAUAUACUGACGUUCCUCUCGUAAGGCCACUAGCGAAGGCCCACGCCACAGAAGCAGACUUAGUCUUAUUUAACUUAGCAAACUCAGCAGGUCCAAUUACCCCCAUUAACCCCAUCGCCAAGCAGACUUACGGUGAGUUUGGAUGGGCGGUGCGUUUACCUGCGGUUAGUGUAAAAAUAGCGGUGGCGGUAAGAUUAAAUACUGUAGCGAUACUGUAGCGUGAGACAAAAAGUAAACUAAACGCACCGCACCGCACCCAAUCACUCAUCCAAACCCACCCUUAGUCUUAUUUAACUAAGCAAACUCAACAGCUCCAAUGACCCCCAUUAACCCCAUCGCCCUUGAGCUUCCUUUAAGCCAAACUCUAACCCAGUUGUCUGCUUCUACCUAUUGUACCUCUCUUCCAACCCUUAGUGUUGUUCUCUCGACCUCUUGCACCAUUUUCUUAACCUUUUCUAUCUCUCCCCCAGUCUCUUGCAUUGCUCUUUUAGCAUCUUCCACCACUCUUUUAGUUGCUUGCAUCACUCCCUCAAUUGUCAACCCAUAGUCCUAGCCUAUUCGUGCCACCUCAGCUUCAACCAACCCCUGGUGUCUCUUCCUCUAACACUAAGGAACUCCUCUUGCAAUACCUAUGGUAUGCUCUCUCCUCAUGUCUCUUCACUCCACCUUCUAAGGUGGCUACUACCAUCAUCCCAGUGGAUCAAGCCUCUCACCAACAACCCUUUUACUCUCAACACCAAGUCAUUAGGAUGCAAGAGAAAAUGUGACACAAAUAAUUAUACUUAUUCGAUUUUAAAAAUAUAUUUUUUCAUUUUUUUAAAUAUGUACAAUUGAAUCAAAAUAAAAGUUCUAUGUAUACAUUUGAACCAAAUCAAACUUCAUGUAUCAAAUUACACAUUAAAACAAAGUCCAUGUAUAAUUUUGAUAUUUAUCCCUAACUGCAUAUAAUAUGAUUUGAACAUAACCAUAAACAUUAAAGCUUUACUUCGACAAUUUCGAUCAUAAUCACAUUUGAUUUUUUAAAAAAAUAUUUUUUUAUAGAUAUAUUUUAUAAAUAAAAAAAUUUCACCCAAAAGUGUGUAAUAAUUUAGUAUAAUAUAUAUUUAUGUGUAUAUACAUUGAUAUCUUUAAGCAACUUUGUAGGGACUUGAAGUGACCACAUAAACAUACACCUUAGAAGGCCGCAAAUAUUAUUAGAUUAUUUUACUUUGUUUAUUUUACUUUUUGGUCCUUCAACUAUGUAUGGAUCAGAUCGAAAUUCCAUAGCAUAUUCUAUAAAAUUCGAGGUUGAAUAAUAUUUUAAAAUUAGUAGAAUUAAAUGAGAAUUAAAUUGUUUUUAUUUAUAUUCCCAAUAAAUUAGUUUAAAAAAUUCAUCCAUUAUUGUUUUUAUUAUAUAUUUUUUGAACAUUGAAAGAGCUUUAUAAGAUUCCCAAUUGUGUCAUCUUAAUGCAUCCAACUCACGUGAUGAUAUGAUUUUGUUUAAUUUGACAAAAUCAGAAAAGAGUGAGGUUGGUUUUAUCAAUAAAAAUGUUUAUUUUUAACUUUAAUCCGGUUUGGGUUUUGUUCGGAUUGACCAGUAAGAUCAUUUUAUUUUUUGAAAUAAAACUUUAUCCAAUCUAAUAUUUAUAUAUCAACUCAGUUAUGAAACUACAGAUAAUAUCUAUUUUUUAAAAUUAUAAUUGAUAUUACUAUGACAAUACUUUUAUCCUUUCAUAAUUUUAUAUCAUCUUCAAAUAGAAACAAUUAUAAAUUACAAAUCUAAGAAUUAAACACGCACUGAAUAGUAUUAAAAUGUAAAUUUAUUAUCACUUCGCCUAUAUUCAUCAUUGAAUAAACAAUAAUUCGAGUUGAUUAGGCAUGGGUCAAAAAUAAACAUUUUUAGGUUCGGAUAGCGGCCCAAACCUAGCUCUUGGUUAAAUUAACAUUUUUUAUACUCAAUUAGACAUCACAAGUUGAUUGAUACAUUACGAAAAUAAAGGGGUCUUAGUGAUAUAUAUUUUUUUUAUAUUUGAAUUCCAAUCAUCACUUUUUUGGUGGGUUUUGAUUAAUUAGUCCAAAACACAUUCUUAGAAUAAUAAGCUUAUUUGUGUCCAGUGAAAAUAGUAUAAUAAUAAUUGGGCACCAACUAGGGGCGAAGCUAGAAAAUUUUUUAGGGGGGACCGAAAUGAAAUUUUAAUUUUUAAUAGUCUAUAUCUUAUCAUUUUUAAAGGAUUAAUUUAAAUUUUCAUAAUUUUAGAGGGGGCAAAGUACAAUUUUACCUUUACUAAUUUAAAAUUUUAAAAUUUUCUAAAGUGUCAAAACAACAAAUUUCCAUUUUAGGGGGCCGCGGCCCUGCCAGCCCCCUGGAUUCGCCUCUAGCACCAACACAGUUAAGUUAAUUACAGAAAUAUUUUUUAUAAUUAAAAUAAAUUAUAUUAUUCGAAGGUAUUUUAGUCUUUUUAUUUUAAUAAAAAUCAAUAAAAAUAUGUAUAUGGUGGGAUUUGAAUCCACAUCAAUUAAAUUGGUAAAAUCUUAUAUUUACUACUCAACCAAAGAUUCAUUUUAAUAUAUUUUGUACAUUUUUAUUUUAAUAUGCAUAAUUUAUUAUUUUCUUCAAUUGUAGUAUCGUACAUAUUUCAUAUGUUAUUAUGACUAAUUAGAUUCAAAUAUUAUGUUUCAUUGUUUUUGUAUCUUAUUUUUAAACAUAUAUGUGUUAUCUAAAUUCAUGGUUUCACACGCAUAUGCAUGUGUUAGUGUUUCUCGUAAUAAUUAUUCAUGUGUUUGUAUUAGAGUUGUGAAGAGAACAUGAAAAACUUAGGUCCCCUUUGGAUACCAACGCACAGCAGUGCGAUGAAUUUUUCCUCUUUAUUAUCAACUUGACUGCACUGGAGUGGACUGAGACAGCCUUUGGAUGCCAAGGCUUCCAGCACAGUGAGGAAAUUCUAUUGCACUGGACAGCCUUAAGCUGACUGGUGAUAAAAGCAUCAGUUGGGUGUAGCUGGGCAAUAGAUAUUUUUAGAAGAUAAUAAUACCCUUACUUUAAUUUAUUAAUUUCCAGAAACAAAUGCACGGGAGGGGAUGGGAAAUGGGAGAAGGAUACGGUGGAAGAGGGGAAUAAUGGAAGAGGGGAGAUGGGAUUUCAUUGUAUUUAAAAUUUUAAAAAUAAAAAAAUAUAUGUAAUGGAUUUUAAAAAUAAAAAAAAUACUUGUAGUGUAUUUUAAUAUAUAUAUAUAUAUGUAGUGUAUUUUAAAAAUAAAAAAUAUAUGUAGUGUAUUCUAGAAAUAAAAAAAUAUAUGUAGUCUAUUUUAAUAUAUAUAUAUAUAUAUGAAGUGUAUUUUAAAAGUAAAAAAAUAUAUGUAGUGUAUUUUAAAAAUAAAAAAAUAUAUGUAGUGUAUUUUAAAAAUAAAAAAUAUAUGUAGUGUAUUUUAAAAAUAAAAAAUAUAUGUAGUGUAUUUUAAAAAUAAAAAUAUAUGUAGUGUAUUUUAAAAAUAAACAAAUAUAUGUAGUGUAUUGUAAAAAUAAAAAAAUAUAUGUAGUAUAUUCGGCGUAUUCGAAUUACUUGAAGCAUGAAAAUCCAAUAUUUUUCUUGAAAGAUACUAAUUUUGAACUUCAAAAUUUGAUCCAAAUAUAAUGUUACUAUUUGUGGAAAUAAUAUUUAUCAUUAUUAUAAAAAAUAUUUAACUAUAAAAAAUUAAAAAUAAUUAUCAUUUUAUCUAAUAAAUAAUUUAAAUUAAUUAUAUAAUUCAUUAAAAUAUUGGAAGAUACAUUUUAAUAUUUUAUUAAAUGAAUUUAUUAAUUCACAUAUUUUAAUAAUUUUAAAAAAGUAAAAUAAUUUAAAUAACUUCUAUUAUAUAUCAAUUCUAAUCUGAUGUCCUUAAUAGUCAUUUCUUAUUCUCACCUCACCGCUAUAGCUGCGUUUGAAUCCAAACACACACUCCACCAUUGUUUCUAAUCUCACAGCUACAGUAUCCAAUCUCACCGCUACAGUAACUAAUCUCACCGCCACCGCUGUUUUUAACCUCACCGGAGGUAAACACACCGCCCAUCCAAACUAGCCCUUAGUCAGUAAAAACAUUUUUUUACAUACAACAUGAAAAUAAUACGAAUACAAAAAUAUGUUCAAAUAUAAGUAAAACAAAUUGUUAGCAUAUAAAAAUUAUUUAAAGAAUAGACAACCGUUCAAUUUCCGGUUCAAUUGGUUUUUAAUCUGACUUUAUUGUUGGUUCAAUUGAUUUAUAGAUCAACUGGUCCAUCCUUUAUAAGAUUGAUUAAUUUUCUAUCCAAUCAGUUUCAUCAAAUUUUAAAAACUGUGUAUAUACCUUUGGAUGGGAUGAAUAUUAUUUUUUUUGAAAAUAUUGUUGAAUUUUUAAAAUAUAUAUAUAUUUAUAGAAAAAAAUAUAUUGAAUUUUAAGUUUUCAUCCAUGAGAUUAAUAGGAAGUUUUGUCGUAAUUGGUUGAUUAAAUUUAUCUUAAUUGGUUAUUUUUUGAACAAUCUCAUUAUAAGUUAUGAUUAUAUCUCAUUAUCUUAAUUGAUUAAUUUUAUCUAGAAUUACCCAUAACCCCUAUUCAACCCAUAAAUAAGAGAAUAAUGCACUUCAGCGGUAGCAAUGAGCAUGCUAAUAGAACUAAGGGUAGGUUUGGAUGAGCGGUGCAUUCACCUAUGGUUAGUGUAAAAACAGCGGUAGCAAUGAGAUUAGAUAUUGUAUCAGAUUAAAUAUUAGAUUGAACUCGUAUUUUUGAAAAUUAAGACAACACACGUUUAAUAAAAUACCAAUUUUGGGCGUCGCGACGGUGCUAAUACCUAUCUCAUGCGUAACAAACUCUCAGACUCUAAUUUUCUCUAGGUUUCGACGCAAACUUAAAAUCAACUCUUUUUUAAAGAAAAUAAAAAGAAGUUUUCUUUUAAAAAGAGAAUUUAUUAGGUGUUCAAUCACAUCUAAAAAAAAGAGAUCGAUGGCGACUCCUCUUUUAAAAAAAAUAUAAAAUAGAGACUCCGUUUUUAAAUUUUCAAUCCAAUGUAAAUUUAAGGUCACUCCAAAAACCAAGAUGUUUUUUCAGUGGGAUCAAAGCAAAUAUCAUAUCCUAACCCUAUGUAAUAACUAUGAAGAAAGAAAGAGAAGAUAAGGACAAAAAUUAGAAGAUUAAAGAAAAGAAGUGAUGUGGUUUAUUUUAUUUUGAUAGAUAAAAUUAGUAAAGGAAACUAAAUAUUUCUAAUAAUCAUUUUCACCAAAUAUUUAAUAAAAUUUCUAAUAAAUAUUUUUACUAAAUGACUUAAAAAAUAUAAAUAAAAAUUUAUAUAAACAUUCAGCCCUUUAUUACUCAACACACGUAGAUCAAUGCCAUUAAAUCACCUUAAUAUUUAUUUCAAUUCCUUUUAUUCUCAACUCAUGUUUAGUUGUUCGUACAAAUGCCCCUGCUUUAACAUUCGCAAGCAAUAACAUCACCACCAAAAAGAUCAAGAAGUUGCUAAGAUCAAGAUCAACAAGCUACACAAGUCAGAACAAAAUCAACAAUAUUGAAAAUAGACACUAAAACUCAUUCUAGUUUCCACAAUCUUUUAUCACUCUGCAAUGGUUAUGUACAACUGAUUCACAUUGCAAGUGAUGAUCUUUACACAAUUUGUGAAACAUUUCAGAGCAAGAUUGAUUUGUUAGAGUAUAUGAUAAGAUCCAUAAAUAAGGUGGCAGUGAAUAUAUCUGCAGAAAAGCCCUUACCAACCAUUUCCGUAAGAAGUUGUGUUGCCUUUGAAGUAUAGCUGUUGCGAAGGAACCCCCGAAUCAUUACAUUAUAACAGCAGCUAUUAGGCAAACAGUCAUUAUCUCCCAUGCUCCCGAACAACCUGUAUGCUUCAUCUGGCAAUCCCUCUUUACACAGUCCAUUAAUCAUUAUACAAUAUGUGUAAACAUCCGGUUUUAAGCCAUUGUCUGAGAGUUGAUGAAAUAAUUCCUUGGCAACUUCGAUAUGCCCAGCUUUACAAAACCCAUCAAUUAGUAUAGUAUACGGGACAAUAUCAAGUUUUAACCCACUGGUUUGCAGUGCUUGAAAAAGUUUCAAUGCCUCUUCGAUAUGACCUGUUUUGCAUAAACCAUCCAGCAAAAUCAAACAGGUUGCUAUGUCUGGAGCUUGUCCAGAAGCAAGCAUCUUUCUAAAAAGUUCACAUGCAGUUGAAACUUUCCCUAACUGAAACAUACUCUGCAUAAGAGUGUUGUAUGUGACAGUAUCCGGGAUUGGUCCCUUUCGAGAUAUUUCAUGAAAGAGUUCCAUUGCUUCGUCUAACCUUUUACCUUUGCAAUAUCCAUUGAUCACGGUGUUGUAACUAUACUAGGUGCACAACCCUUCUCAAUCAUCAAGUUGAAAACUCUUCUAGCUUUAUCCGUUUCAUUCUGCAAGCAAUGACCAUUAACUAAUGCACUAUAGGUAACAACAUUAGGCUCAAUGCCUCGCUUUAUCAUUGCGUCAACAAUAUCCUCAGCUUCAGAGACCAUCCCUUCCUUGCAAUGCGCAUCAACCAAUGUACUAUACGUGACAACAUUAGGCUCAAUGCCUUGCUUUCUCAUCAUGUCAAUGGUCUCUACAGCUUUAGAAAUUGUUCCUUCCUUGCAAAGAGCAUCAACCAAUGUAUUAUACGUGACAAUAUCAAGUGAAAUAUUGUUAUCAACCAUUUCACUCAAAAGCCUUGUUGCCUCCUCCUGCUGGCCCAAAUUACACAUACCAUGAAUUAAGCAGUUAUAAGUAAUGAUAUUUGGUCUAAUGCCCUUAACCUUCAUUUCAGAUAAGAGAUUGAGAGCCUCCUGUAACAAACCGUUCUUACAAAGGCAGUCAAUGACAAUGCUAUAUGCUACAAUAUUAGGUUCAAAGCCUCUGCUUUCCAUCAACCUUAGAAACCUAACAGCUCUAUCAGUAUUGCCGGUCUUAGACAACCCCUUAAGUACUGUAUUGUAAACAAUCAAAUGAGCUUGAUACCCUUUUUCAGUCAUUUCAUCGAACAUACAAACGGCCUCAGAAAUCUUACUUUGAUUACAAAGCCCAUUUAUCAAAGUUGAAAAAGUUACAGCACUAGGCUCAACACCUAACUUCAGCAUUUUCCCCAAAACAGAAAACCCAAAAUCAAUUCGACCUAAUUGACAAAUGCAAUUAAUCAAGAUGUUCAUAGAAUAAACAUUAUGGGAAACUCCCAAUAAUUCGAUCUGUCUAUACUUAGAAACAACAAUGGCAUAAUGUUUCGUCUUAACAAUGGCUCCUAAUAAUUUAUUGAAUUCCACAAUUGAAGGCUUUGGGUACUUUUCAAUCAUCUUAUUGAACAAACUCAAAGCAUGAUCAACAUUAUCGGAGCGGUGGUCUCUUUUCCCCUUUCCUCUAACAGGCAUGGACAUGGGUUUCUUACUUAGGCCUUCGAUGUGGGUAGCAAUGGUGUUAGAAGAAGAAGAAAAGGGAUGGAAAUUAGAAAGAUGGCUUCCAGCAUUAACAACCGAACGAAGAAUAAAAGAAGAAGGAAGCUUACCCAUAUCUUGAAAGCAGAAAUGACAGCGGCAGUAGCAGAAGAAGUGUAAAUUUUGGGUUGCGAAGUGGUGUUUAGGGAAAGGGUUGGGACUUGGGAGCGUAAUUUGGGUUUUUUUUUUUUAAUGUGAAUAAUAUUUAAUAAAAAAAUUAAACUUUAUUUUUAAAUGCAAUCUUUAGUUAUUAAUAAUAUUAUUAUAUACUUAUAAAUCUUCCUUUUAAAUUUAAUAAAAUUACUAUUAACUUCAAAAGAUUUUUAGACUAACUUUAAUAAAAUUUAUUAAAUUUAAAUUUUUAGACUGACUUGAGAAAAUAUGCUAAGAUUAAAAUAGUUCUAUAAAAUACUCUAUUUUUAUAAUUUAUAUUUUGUCGAUGCAUCUAACAGCGAGCAAAACUUGAUUUGAUUAAAACAAAUAAAAAUAAAAAACCAAAUUUCAAGUUAAUCGAAUCGAGUUAUUUAAUUUUUUCGAGUCAACUAGAAUAAGUAAUUCGAGUUUAAGUCGAUUCGAAUUUUACAAUUCAAAUAAGUUAAAUAAUUUAAAUAACAUACUGGUGUAAAUAACUUUUUGGUCUCUAUCAAUUUUGAGAAUAAACAAAUUAGUCUCUAUCAACAAAAAUUACAAAUAAAAUUAAAAAAUAAAAAAAUAUUUUUUAAUAUUUAAAUAUUUAUAAGUUUUCAAAUUUUAUAUUUUUAAAAAAUUAUAAAAUUUAAAAAAAAUCUAAAGAAUAUAUAAAGAAAAUUUAAUUAUUCAUCCAUCAUUACAUUCCUCCAUACUCCCAUACUUCGCAUAUAAUUUAUUUUAAUCAAAAUAUCACAUAUCAAGCAUUCAACAAUAUAUCGUAAUCAAUAGUGAUUUUUCCAGAAACUAUUCAUCAAUACAACAAACUUAUGCUUACAUCUAGGCACACUUUUGGACACCAACUUAACAUGCAUCAACAUUACAAUAGAAAUCUCACCCAAAACAUUAGAUAUGCAGAGUAACUGGUAGACAAAUUAGAAAUCUUCAUACACAUAACAUCGUACCCAUCAAACAAAUUAUUAAUUCCAUGAAUUAAGCUCAUAACCAACAUGCACCUUAUCUUGUAACACACAUCUGCGGCUAUGGCAACUUUUCCAAGACAAGGAAACACUUCAUUAUAAACAUAAUACACAACCUAAACAUCAUAGUAUAAAGUCAUGUAAGACAAACACUGAAGAUUUGAGUUUAGGAGCUCAUUGACAAAACACCUCAAGGAUGUAUCACCUACUAGCUUGACUUUCCCCUUGUUGUUAGCUCCCUCUCCGUCUCCGUCGACUAAAAAGUAAAAAUCAUAUAAAAUCGAUCGUAAGACAUUUAUGAGUAAGACAAUCGGAUUCUAAAAACAUGUAAAGUAUACUCUCUACUUAACAUGCUUAUUUUCCUUACAAUCCACAACCAACAUUUAGUUGGAUGUCCGUAGUUCAUUACUUUCUUUCAAAAUCAAAAGACACAGAAAAUAAUAAGAACAUUACCAGUUCUCAAAUUCACCUUUGAUUAAGCUACUUUGCUACAUAUAUUUUUUUUCCAACAUGCAGCUUGACUCCCUCACUUCUUCUGCAAAGGCCGAUUGUUGAAGCUCAGAAAUGGUUUCUCCAUUUUUCUCUUUUGUGCUUCGGUUGAAGAAAGAAACAUGAUGACCCCCUUUUCUUUCUUUCCCCCCUUAUAUAGUCAUUCUCUUAUUGACCGUUCCAACCUUUCCAUACAAGCACUAACCCAAAUUAAAACAAAAUAUCAGAAACAAGCCAUUAUUUUUCAACAGACCCCUCAAAAAAAUUGAAAUAAUUAUUAAUGCCUAAUUUAUCCCCAAAAUUAUUUUCAACUCGAUACACACAGGACGCCAUAGGAUCUAACUAAAACAUAUAAAAUAAUUUAGGGUUUGCCGUUCCAUAUGGCCAAGUUUUUGCUCAAAAAAUCGGAUGUGACAACAUACCCACCUUAAAGAGAAAUUUCGUCCUUAAAAUUUCCUUACUAAUUAAACAAAUGAGGGAUUUGAUCCAUCAAAGAACUUUCACUACCAUUAGUAACUUAUUCCACCCCGUGACAUGUACAUUUUGAAGAUCGUGAAAUAAUAGAUUUGUCAUAGUGGAAGAUCUAGAAUUAAUCCACACUAUCUUAAUUGUAAUCUAGAUGAAUAUGAGUGCUAGGCACCGUUCUCAUAUAGGCAAUCUUGCGUAAUCAUGUAGCACACAAGGAUAAAAUGUACAUAUUGGCGUGAACCGCGCUUUGCUGUAAUACAUGCAUUAGCCCCAUCCGCCCAAUGGCGUACCUCUUACAUUAGAACAACUCGCAAGGAAUUUUACUUGUACUCAGGGUCAGCUUACUGGCAUAUGAUUUUCAUAAAUAGUUUGUAACACCCUCUACUCGACCCAAAUCACCAAGUCUGGAUAUUGGAUGUUACAACACAUAAACACUUAACAAAAAUUUAAAACAAUUAGCGUAUAACCCCUUUUCAACAUACUUCUUAUUAUUUUAUUAAGUGUCUUCAAAACAAAAUAAAUAAAGAAAAUAUCUAAGAAUACAUCAUACUUUUAAAAGUAAUAUAAGACAUUACAACUUAAAAGUUUGAUAAAGACACUCUACAUAGCAUAGAGUACUAAACACCAUGGCAAUAUUGUGCCCUCUAUAUGCAUAAAAUCGUAACUCAAACAGAUAACUUAGCAUAAUCCUUGUUUGGUCCUUCCUACUCAAAUUAGAACCUACAACAAGACAAACACUUGUAAGUUCAAAUGAACUUAGUGAGUUUUGAUUAGAUUACCUUAAAGCAUUUGUUGUUGAUUUCUUAUUCUGAAUAUUUUGGAUUUUCUUUCUAUCUUCGACAGAUACUUUUCCAAUGUCAGGGCAUACUUAUACGCCAACUUCAGACUUGAUCAUCUUACACAUAAUACACUUUAUAGGCGGAUUACAGAAUUUACUACUUAUUACGGGUUUUAUGUCCUUUGCAGUUAGCAAAUGCAUUUCUCAUAAAAAUACCCAUACAAAACUUACCUUCUGCAAAUUUUCACUCUAACGACCGUUAAAUAUUUAAUCCAGAAUGGUGUUGUAAUGACCCAAAAUUCACGGGCAUCAGAAAAGUACAAUAUCAGGCCUCCGUCUUAGUGAAAUGGGUUCGUAAUUAAUUAUUAGAAAUAUUUAUGAGACUAGUGGUGUGCCUAAGUAGGUUCUAAUUAGGUGAAUUUAGCUUAAUUAAGAGUAAUUAGGAAAAAGGACUAAAGUGAAUAAAGGGUAAAAGUUGAAUUGUAGAUUAAAAGAAAAUGAAAAGGACCAAAAUGGCAAAUAAGCCAUUUAGCAUAAGUUGAGGCGGCAAACAAAGCAAAAAUCUAAGAUUUUUGUUUGUUUAAUUAAUUUGGCACCAAAUGUAAUAUUCCUAUAUUAGGUUCCUUGAGUCAAACAUGGUAUAGGGGUAUUACAUUUAGUGGUAUCAGAGCCUAGCUUUUCUAAUUACUGGGAAAAGAACGAGUCUAGAAGUACAUGCCAUAUAAGAUAUAUCGAUGUCAAUAUUAGAAGCAUUGAUAAGUUUGAAAAUACGAAUUAUUACUAAUAAGGAAAUGAUUUUUGAAUUAAUUAUUAAUGACUUAAGAGGGAAAUAGAUAAAUACUGAAAUUUGAUAAAAACUUAUUUUUUGUCAUAGAUAUUGGAAGAAAUGACAAUAUUUUUGAUAUUGUCUAAUGAGAUAACAACUUCAGCAUAGAGGGAGAAAGUUGAUAAGAUGAUGAGAGAAGUGCAAGAUUAUAGAAUGAAACCAGAAGAAGACAUAGUUCAGCACUUUAUUACUGUAAAUCGAAAGAUGCAAGAAGUGUUAUGGAAGGGUCACGAAUUGAUUAGAAAGAAUAAAGUGCAAUAUUUGACCCUUAGAGGAACAUUAAUAGAAUGAGAGCACCAAAUGAUUUUAGACCAACUUUGGAAGACAUUGGUGCCACAAACUUAUUGGAAUAUAGUUAUAUAUUUUAUGAAGUUUAUAAUCUCUGAAGGAGCAAAGAAGACAGCGAGACAAAGUGUAAGCUCACGAAAGUUGACUAGGAAGCAAGAUGUCUUUAACAUGCCGUGGAUGGAAAAAUUAGUAGUUAGGAAAUUAGCAAGAGAAAUUAUAGAUUCAAUACCCAUUAUAAAGAUGGAAGAGGAAGAAGAUCCUGAGGAAUUUUCAAAUUGGAUUGUAGAAGAUGAAUUUGAAUAGAAUUUAGAACUUAAUAUAGAGAAUUUUUCGGGAGAAGAUACAAAAUUAGAGAUGGAAGAAGACACAGAAAUGGAUUUAAAUGGUUAGAAGUAAAAGUUAUGUAGUAGUAAAUAUGAAGGAAAAUGAAUAUAUAUAUAUAUAUAAAUAUAUAUAGUUGUAUGUGUAUAAAAUGAGAACUUAGAAAGUCAGAGCUUUUAAAUGAAAAGUUUGGUACAUUAAUAUAAGUUUAGUCUUUUGGAAAUAGAGGAGAUAAUAGAAAUAUGAGAAGUAGAAUAGAAUAGUAAUAUUUUUCAAUUAUGAAGAUCAGAAAAUGAAUUUUUUUUUUUUAGAAAGAAGUAUUGAAAGAAAUAAAAACCUUAGUUAAAAAAAAGAGAAGAAGAAGAAAUAGCAAAGUUGUAAAAUGUGUAAUAAAAGAGGUAAACUUUGGAAAGAACAAUUACCUCAAGGAGACUGUUGGCAGCGGCCGGGCCAAUAGAUUUCUAAAAGGUUUGGAUUAAGAGUAAUAACUUUGAUCCAUAACUGGAAUAAUCAUUGUUUACCUCGAAAAGACAAAGGAAAUGAAAAUGAGAAAAUAAAAGUAUAACAAAGAAGAGUCUAAAUAAAAUAUAUAUAUAGGAUUAUAAGAAUAACUCCAAAGAUAAUCUACUAAAGGUUUUUGAUUCUUAUAGAAAGAAUAUUGUCAUUUAUAGUGAUGAUUCUUGAACGGUUUUAGUCGUGUUUUGAUGUAAGACUAGAAGUGAUUGCUUAUGCAUCUAGUCAGCUAAAAAUGUAUGAAUGUAAUUAUCUAACACACGAUUUAGAAACUAGCUGUUAUGGUUUUUGUUCUAAAGAUUUUGAUACACUAUUUGUAUAAUAAAAAGUGUUAUAUUUAUACCGAUCAUAAAAGUCUCAAAAAUCUUCUAUUUCAAAAGAGAGUUGAAUUUAAGAUAGCGUCGUUAGAUAGAACUUUUGAAAAAAAAUUUUGAUUGUGUCAUUGAUUAUUACUCUGAUAAAGCUAAUGUUAUAGCUAAUGUAUUAAGUAGGAAAGCAGCAAUUGAAUUGUGAACAAUGUUUGCUCAGCUUAGUAUCAAUGACGAUGAAAGCUUAUUGGCUGGAUUAAAAAUCAAAUCGGUGAUGUUGAUUAGAUUAAGUCAAUGUAGUUAGAAAAUGACAAAUUGGUGAAGAAAAGAGAAAUGAUUCAGAAUGGUAUAUUAGAAAAUUUCAGCCUUGAUAAUUGUGGUUGCUUGAGAUUUCACAAUCGAAUUUGCGUUCUGGAUAUUUCUAAAUUGAAAAAGUUGAUACUUCACAAAGCUCAUAAUAGUCCUUUUGUUUUGCAUUCUAGAAGAACUAAAAUAUAUUACGAUUUACAAAAAUUUUAUUGGUGGUCAAGAGUGAAAAAAGAUGUGGUCGAGUAUGUGGAUAAAUGUUUGACUUAUCAAUGAGUUAAGGUAGAGCAUUAGGUUCCUACUGGAUUAAUUUAGUUUAUUAACAUUCUUGAAUGGAAAUGGGAAUUGUGUUGCUAUAUUUGUAACAGGACUAUGCUUAUCAGCAAGUAAAAAGAAUGCUAUUUGGGUGAUUGUUGAUAGGCUUACGAAAUCAGCUCAUUUUGUAGUAAUCAGAACUGAUUGGUCACUUCAAAAACUUAUUGAAGUUUAAAUUCGGGAAAUUAUGAGGGUGUGCAGUAUUCCUAAUUAUUGAAGGAAAGAAAAAUGAUAGGGCUAGAAUUUAUCCAAGAAACGAAAGAAAUUGUUAAGAAGAUUCGAGAUAGACUAAAGGCAGCUUCAAUAGAUAGAAAUCAUAUACAGAUUUAAAACGUCGAGAUAUUGAGUAUUCUAUUGGCGACAAAAUAAUUUUAAAGUAUCGUUUUAGAAGAUAAUAUUCAGAUUAGGUCGAAAAGAAAAACUGAGUCCUCGUUUUAUUAAGCCGUGAGAAAUUAUAGGAAGAGUUGGGCCAGUUGCUUAUUGCUUAGUAUUUCCUCUGAAAUUACAAAAGAUUCAUGAUGUUUUUCAUGUUUUUAUUCUACGGAGAUAUCGAUUAGACCUUUCCCAUAUUAUUUCGACAGAAGAUAUUAGCUCGAAAGGUAAAGGAGUUACGGAAUAAACAGGUUCCAUUAGUGGAAGUGUUGUGGAGAAGUCAUAGUGUAAAAGAAACAAUUUGGGAAUCGGAAGAAACUAUGAGAUUUCAGUACCCCCAUUUCUUUUUAGGUAAAUUUUGAGGACAAAAUUUAUUAAGGCAGGGAGAAAUGUAAUGACCCAAAAUUCAUAAGCAUCGAAAAAGUGAAAUAUCGAGCCUCCGUCUUAGGGAAAUGGGUUCGUAAUUAAUUAUUAGAAAUAUUUAUGAGACUAGUGGUGUGUCUAAUUAGGUUCUAAUUAGGUGAAUUUAGCUUAAUUAAGAGUAAUUAGGAAAAAGGACUAAAGUGAAUAAAGGGUAAAAGUUGAAUUGUAGAUUAAAAGAAAAUAAAAAGGACCAAAAUGACAAAUAAGCCAUUUAGCAUAAGUUGACGUAUUAAUUAAUAUAAAUAAAUAAAUUAGUUAUAAAUUUAAUUAUGUUAAAUUAUAAUAAUUAUAUUAUAAUUAAUAAAAUAAGGACAAGUGUAUGGUGAUGAUAAAACACACGUGUAAUGAAUAUAUGUAAACAUUUGUAGUAUAAUUAUUUAUUUACUUAUAUUCUAAAACUAAAGAUAUUUAUUAAUAAAUUAAUUUAUUAUAAAUAUCAUAUUAUAAAUUGAAUUAGAAUAAAGCUGGUGAUAAAAAUAUACAAAUGUAAUAAUAGUAUUUGUACACUUGUAAUAUAUUUAUUCAAUAACUUUUUAAGUAAAUAGAUAUUUAUAUUAUUAUUAUUAUUAUUGUUGUUGUUGUUGUUGUUAACUAAUAUAUAUAUAUAUAUAAUAAAGUAAAAUGAAGGAAAGAAAUAAAACAAAGAAGAAAAGAAACAUAGAGCAAUUCGAAACAGGGGAAAGGAGAAAGGAAAAGGAAAAGGAAAAGGAAAAGGAAAAAUUAGGGUUUUGAAGCUUAAAGCUUUAAUUAGUUACUCAAUUAAGUCCUUUUUACUUAAUUUUGAUGUUUUAGAGGUCUUAGAACAAAGUUUCGUUGAAUAUAAGUUAAAAUUUUGAAAGUUCUUAGAUUUUUUAAUAUGAUUCAUGUUGAACAAAUUGUUGAAUUAGGGGUUUGACUGAUAGAAUUUCUAGUUAGAAUUGAUAAAUGGGGUUAAAUUGUAAAGUAAGCUAUAAGUUUUGUGUUAGAAAGAUUAAAUUGAAAGAAAUCUGAAAUUAGGGUUUAUUCAUGAACAUUAGAUAGUUAAGUUGAAUUUGGUAGGAAAUUGAGUAGAAAUAAUGUAUGAAUUGAAAUAGAAAAAUAAGUAAAUUUAAUUAAGACUAAAUUGAAAUUGAGGUAGAAAUUGAAUAGAAAUUCAAUUAUUAUUAUAAAUUAAUGUUGUAAUUAAUAGUGUAAAUUAUUAUCAUUUUCGUAGCUAACAAGGAACCUGAGGCAUCCAUGAAGAAAGGAAAAGAAAAGUGGACGAGGAGUAGACACGAGAAUCAUGGUUUGUAUUACUAUAAUUCAAAUCUAUUUAUUAUUAAUUGUUAUAUUUUAAUUAAAAUGCAUGGAAAGUAAAAUUAAGUAAGCAAUUGAAAUGAUAAUAUUGGUUUGAAUGAAAUUGAUUCAAAAAUGUUUAUGGCUAUUGAAGUUGAAUGUGAACAAAUUGGAAAUUAAAAUUGAUUUGAAUUGAAUCAAAUUGAAUUGAAUGAAGAAAAUACGUGAGUAUUUAAAAGGUAUAUUGAUUGAAAAAUAAUUACUGAUUUGAAUUUGAUUGGAAAAUGAAUUAAAAAUAUGAAUUGAAUAAAAGUGAAUUAAAUUAUGAUUAUGUGUGAAUAUCUUAAAUAUGUAUUGGUAUUGAAUUGUAUAUUGAUUAGAAAGUGGAAAGUGAAUUUCAAUUGAAUUGUGAUUGAAUCGAAAGUAAAUUUGAAAUAGAAAAAUAAUUUGAACACCCUAUUAACUAGUCGGGCUGAGUCGGAUAUAGUUGGCAUGCCAUAGGAUUUGAAAGAGUACGGGAUUUAUCGGCUUUGCCGAUCAGACACUAUAUGUGUCGUAUAUCAGGCACUUCGUGUGUCGUUUCAAGUAAUUUAUGUGUCGUAUAUUGAUCGGGUACUAUGUAUCAUUUUCGACACAAUGUGUCGUACUGGUGUGUUUGGUUGGAUCCCUGUAUCCCCCAAAGUCCGAGUCUUGUUAAUAGGGGUGAAUAAAUGAAUUGACAAAAAUUGAAAGAAAUUAAAUGAUUUGUUUAAUAAGUAAAAACGAGAAAAUUUGAAUAAAAGUGAUUGAUUGAGCUAUGGAAAGAAAUGAGAAAGUGAAAAUGUGAAUUUGAUAUGUGAAUUGGAAAUUGAGAUAUGAGAUUUGAAGUUAUGAACACAAGGUUCAUAAUUUGAUUAAGAUUAAAUUUUUGACAUAUGAUAUUAGUAGAUACAAAUUGCAAAGGAAUUGAUAUUGAAUAAGUGAUCAAUUGUAUGAAUUGCAUAUGAAUUGAAAUGAGAUUGAAAAAUUGCAAUGAAAUUGAAAUAGUGAAAUAUGGUAUGAAUUCAAUUUGAUACAAGAUUUGAAAUAUUGCUUAUCGUUACUAUUGAACAAGUCGAUUUAAAGUAUGAGAAAAUUUAUGAAUAAUUGUAGGCAUAAUUUGAAUGUAUAUAAUUUAUCCAUAAAAUGGAUAAUGAUAUAAUGAAUUGAAAUGCAUGAACCAAAGGUUUAUGAAAAGAGAAUUGUUAUUGGUAAAUGAUAUGUUGGGUGAAUAUCAUCGGUUUGUGUUAAAUACGAUACGCCCUUUUAAAAAAUAAAAAAAUAUUCAAAAAUUCUCGGGUCUUAAAAUAAAAUGUUUAUUUUUGUGGUCUUUUUAUUAUCAAAUUUUCAUUUUUGAAUGUAUAAUAAUAUGUAAUUUAUCAAAAUUCUCGUGUUUUAAAAAAAUUCUCGUGUUUCAAUCGGAUCACAAUUAAAUAUUAAAUUGAACCGAUUUGACAUUAAUUCGUUGAUUUCAUCGCUAUGCUGGGUGAAUAUCAUCGGUUCGUGUUAAAUACGAUAUGUCCUUUUUUUUAAAAAUCGUGUUUCAAAAAUUUUCGUGUUUCAAAAAUUUUGCGUGUUUUCAAAAAAUUCUCGUGUUUAAAAAUUUUCGCAUUUUCAAAAAAUUUCAGUGCUUCAAAAAUUUUCUUAUUUUCAAAAAAUUAUCGUGUUUCAAAAAUUUCCAUGUUUUCAAAAAAAAUUAUUAUGGUGUUUCAAAAUUCUCGUGUUUUAAAAAAAUUCUCGUGUUUCAAUCGGAUCACGAUUAAAUUUUAAAUUAAACUCGUAUUUUGAAAAUUAAGUCAACGCGCGUUCAACGAGAUACCAAUUUUGGGCAUCGCGAGAGUGUUAAUACCUUCCUUAUGCGUAACUGACUCUCGAACCCUAAUUUUUCUGGAUUUUGACGUAAACCUAAAAUUGACUCUUUUUUUAGAAAAUUGAAAAAUAAUUUUUCUUUUAAAAAAGAGAAUUUAUUAGGUGUCCAAUCACACCCAAAAAAAAGAUCGGUGGCGACUCCCUUUUUAAAAUAAAAUCGAAACUCUGUUUUCAAAUUUUUAAUAAUUACUUCGACUAGCGCCCGUGCAAAAAUUUUUAGGUCGCUACAAUAUGCAACCUAAACCUUAAACGUAUUGUAAUAUAUACAAUUAACAUGAUGCAAAGGAACAAUUCAUGACAUUGACUUCAAUUAGGGUUAAAUCAAAUUUCUCACAAAUUAGGGGAAAGAAAGACAAAAACUGGCAUACGAUUGAAAAUACUUUGCAACCUAUAUUUGAUGAGGUCAUUAAGGUGGUGAAGCAAAAGGUUGGAAUUCAAAUAGUUAAUUCAAUCAUAUAGGUCUAAAUAUAAUUUUACCAUUGUAAUGAUUUUUGAAAACAUGAUACAAUAAUAUACUAUAAUUUUAUUUUAGUUUUUUUUUAAAAUGUCACCUUGCUUUAGAGAACAACAUUCAAAGAGUUAACACAUGAGGUUAAAGAGUCUAAAUUCAUAUAAAUCUCAUUUAAAAAAAAAUCCAAUGAUGGAUUUUGAGACUAAAUUUUAAGGGGUUUAAUUAUAAUUUUUUUUAAAAAUAAGAGUGUAGCGAUAAUAUUUUAAAAGAAUUGAGGUUUGAUUACAAUUUUUAAAAAUUUGCGGGAUUGAUGAUUGUUUUUCAAAAAAAAGAAGAGUUUAAUUAAAACUUUCAAAAAAAAAAUUUAGGGAAUAUUGAAUAUUUCCAAAAGUUUUGGCCCAUUGGGCACCAUUACUGUCCUCCACUAAAAAAACUAAGAUAUUUUUUUUAUUGUGGGAUCAAAGCAAAUAUCAAAUCCUAACCCUAUGUAAUAACUAUAAAGAAAGAAAGAGAAGAAAAGGGAAAAAAAUGAGAAGAUUAAAGAAAAGAAGUAAUGUGAUUUAUUUUAUUUUGAUAGAUAAAAUUUGUAAAGGAAACUACAAAUUUCUAAUAAUCCUUUUAUUCUCAACUCAUGUUUAGUUGUUCGUACAAAUGCCCCUGCUUUAAAAUUCACAAGCAAUAUUGGUUUUCCCCUAAUUUCUUAACAUCACCACCAAAAAGAUCGAGAAGUUGCUAAGAUCAAGAUCAACAAGCUACACAAGUCGGAACAAAAUCAACAAUACUGAAAAUAGACACUAAACCUCAUUCUAGGUUCCACAAUCUUUUAUCACUGUGCAAUGGUUAUGUACAACUGAUUCACAUUGCAAGUGAUGAUCUUUACACAAUUUGUGAAACAUUUCAGAGCAAGAUUGAUUUAUUAGAGUAUAUGAUAAGAUCCAUAAAUAAGGUGGCUGUGAAUAUAUCUGCAGAAAAGCCCUUACCAACCAUUUCCGUAACAAGUUGUGUUGCCUUUGAAGUAUAGCUGUUGCGAAGGAACCCCCGAAUCAUUACAUUAUAACAGCAGCUAUUAGGCAAACAGUCAUUAUCUCCCAUGCUCCCAAACAGCCUGUAUGCUUCAUCUGGCAAUCCCUCUUUACACAGUCCAUUAAUCAUUAUACAAUAUGUAUAAACAUCUGGUUUUAAACCAUUGUCUGAGAGUUGAUGAAAUAAUUCCUUGGCAAAUUCGAUAUGCCCAGCUUUGCACAACCCAUCAAUUAGGAUAGUAUACGGGACAAUAUCAACUUCCAACCCACUGUUUCGCAUUGCUUGAAAAAGUUUCAAUGCCUCUUCGAUAUGACCUGUUUUGCAUAAACAAUCCAGCAAAAUCAAACAGGUCGCUAUAUCUGGAACUUGUCCAGAAGCAAGCAUCUUUCUAAAAAGUUCACAUGCAGUUGAAACUUUCCCUAACUGAAACAUACUCUGCAUAAGAGUGUUGUAUGUGACAGUAUCCGGGAUUGGUCCCUUUCGAGAUAUUUCAUGAAAGAGUUCCAUUGCUUCGUCUAACCUUUUACCUUUGCAAUAUCCAUUGAUCAUGGUGUUGUAAGUAACUAUAUUAGGUGCACAACCCUUCUCAAUCAUCAAGUUGAAAACUCUUCUAGCUUUAUCCAUUUUAUUCUGCAAGCAAUGACCAUUAACUAAUGCAUUAUAGGUAACAACAUUAGGCUCAAUGCCUCGCUUUAUCAUUGUGUCAACAAUAUCAUUAGCUUCAGAGACCAUCCCUUGCUUGCAAUGCGCAUCAACCAAUGUACUAUAUGUGACAACAUUAGGCUCAAUGCCUUGCUUUCUCAUCAUGUCAACGGUCUCUACAGCUUUAGAAAUCAUUCCUUCCUUGCAAAGUGCAUCAACCAAUGUACUAUACGUGACAACAUCGGGCUCAAUGCCUUGCUUUCUCAUCAUGUCAACGGUCUCUACAGCUUUAGAAAUCGUUCCUUCCUUGCAAAGAACAUCAACCAAUGUAUUAUACAUGACAACAUUAAGUGAAAUAUUGUUAUCCACCAUUUCAUUCAAGAGCCUUGUUGCCUCCCCCUGCUGGCCAGAAUUACACAUACCAUGAAUUAAGCAAGUGUAAGUAGAGAUAUCUGGUCUAAUGCCUUUAACCUUCACUUCGGAGAAGAGAUCGAGAGCCUCCUUCAACAACCCGUUCUUACAAAGACAGUCAAGGAUGGUAUUAUAUGCUACAAUAUCGGGUUCAUAACCUCUGCUUUCCAUCAACCUUAGAAACAUAACAGCUCUACCAGUAUUACCGGUCUUACACAACCCCUUAAGUACUAUAUUGUAAGCAAUCAAAUUAGGUUGAUACCCUCUUUCAGUCAUUUCAUCGAACAUACAAACGGCCUCAGAAAUCUUACUUUGAUUACAAAGCCCAUUAAUCAAAGUUGAAAAAGUUACAGCACUAGGUUCAACACCUAACUUCAGCAUUUUCCCCAAAACAGAAAACCCAAAAUCAAUUCGACCUAAUUGACAAAAGCAAUUAAUCAAGAUGUUUAUAGAAUAAACAUUAUGGGAAAUUCCCAAUAAUUCGAUCUGUCUAUACUUAGAAACAACAAUGGCAUAAUGUUCCGUCUUAACAAUGGCUUCUAAUAAUUUAUUGAAUUCCACAAUUGAAGGCUUUGGGUACUUUUCAAUCAAAUUAUUGAACAAAAUCAAAGCAUGAUCAACAAUAUCGAAGCGGUGGUCUCUUUUUCCCUUUCCUCUAACAGGCAUGGACAUGAGUUUCUUACUUAGGCAUUCGAUGUGGGUCGCAAUGGUGUUAGAAGAAGAAGAAAAAGAGUGGAAAUUAGAAAGAUGGCUUCCAGCAUUAACAACGGAACGAAGAAUAAAAAAAGAAGGAAGCUUACCCAUAUCUUGAAAGCAGAAAUGGCAGCGGCAGUAGCAGAAGAAGUGUAAAUUUUGGGUUGCGAAGUGGUGUUUAGGGAAAGGGUUGGGAGCGUAAUUUGGGUUUUUUAUUUUUAAAUGCAAUCUUCAUAUAUACUUAUAAAUCUUCCUUUUAAAUUUAAUAAAAUUACUAUUAACUUCAAAAGAUUUUUAGAAUAACUUUAAUAAAAUUUAUUAAAUUUAAAUUUAAAUUUUUAGAUUAACUUGAAAAAAUGCUCUAUUUUUAUAAUUUAUAUUUUGUCGAUGCAUCUAAGUGCGAGUAAAAUUUGUUUUGAUUAAAACAAUUACAAAAUAAAUAUUUAAGAGAUAAGUAGUUAAAAUUUUAGUUGUCAAAUUCAACUUUUAUCGUUUAUGUUAAAACUAAAAUUUUAAAAACUAAAAAAUAUAUAAUUAAAAUUAAGCAAAUUUAAAUACAUGAACUAAAUUCACAAUCUAAAUACAAAGACUAUCAAUAAUGUGAAUGACGAAGAUAAUGUUAUUUAUAAAUAAUAUAUAUUUAUAUAUUAUAAAAAAAUGUUUUGUUUUUUAAUUAUAUUUAAUGUGGGACUUAUUUUUAUAAUUAAGUUUUAAAUAAUAAUUAAGUUUUAAAUAUGAUUAAAUGGGUCUAGCUUUUAAUAUAUAUACACAAAAUAUAAAAAGAAAUAACAAAAAUAUAUAAAAAUUUUAAUUAUAUUUAAAGUAAAUCUCAUUUUUAAUUAAUUUUAAUAAUAAAUUAUAUUAAUUAAUUAACUAAAUCAAUCAAAUUUAUGAAUUUAUGAAAUAAAGAUAACAUUACAUUUGUUUAUUUAAAUUAUCAUUUUUUUUAUUUUUACAUGUUGCAAUAAUACUUUUGAAUUUUUUUUAUGAACAUAAUUUUUUUUAUGAACAUACUAAUUUGUAUUUAAUUUUUAAAAUAAUUUUAAUAUUGUAUAUCAAAACUAAUAAAAAAUAUUUUAUGUUUUUGUAUUUUUUAUAAAAUUUUAAGUAAACCACCUCAAUUUACAAAACACUUUUAAGAUAAUUCACCAAAUAAAUUUUAUUGUGUAAGUUCAAGUUUCGACAUUUGGCACUGCACUGCCACGUGGAUUUCAAUGAUAUAAAUUUCUAUAAAAAAAAACCUAUAAUCCAUAUUUUUUUUAACCCCUAACUCCUUAAAUCACUACCCUGCUUGGGCCUCCUGCGGAUAACCUGAAGCUUAAUAUUCAUAGGUAGAGGUGCUCAUGGGCCGGGCCGGGCCCAUAAAAACAUUUCGGCCCUGGCCCAGCCCGGCCCAAAAUAUGGGCCUAAAUUUUGGCCCGAUACCUUCCCGGGAAAAAAAUCUAAGCCCGAGCCCGGCCCGGUCCGGCUCACUUUUUAAAUAAAUACAAAAAAUUUAUUUUAAAAAUAAUUUUUAAAAUAAAUAAAAUAAAUAUUAUAUAUUUAUUAUAUUUCGGCCGGGCCGGGCCCGGGCCAAAAAAGUUGGGCCCGAGCCCUGCCCAUUUUCUAAACGGGCCUCAUUUUUUGCCUAAGCCCAUAUUUCGGGCCUAUAUUUUUACCCAAAUCCUCCCAUAUUUCGGGCGGGCCGUCGGGCCGGGCUGGGCCGCUCGGCCCAUGAGCACCUCUAUUCAUAGGUAAGGUAAGUAUUCAAUCGAGUCGAGUCGAAUCGAGUUAAACAAUUUUGAGUUAGUUAAGUUGAUGAAUUCUAUUUUAGUAACUGAACUCAAUUUGAUUUUUUUCGAAUCGAAUCGAGUCAAGUCGAGUUGAGUUAACAAAUCCUAUUAUUUAUACUCAAUGUUGCAUUUACAUGGGCCGAUUAUUUAACAAGUAGAAGAAGUAGAAAAUUAAUUAACUACAUAAACAAUAUAAUGGUUUUGCCUUUUAACUUAAUGAGUAAAUAUUUAUCAAAACGACGUAGUUUUGCCUUUUCUUAUUUGAAUUUUCGAAUAACUCGAAUUGUGUAAUUCAUAUUCGAGUUAAACCGAAAAACUUGAUUUUUUUAUUUGAUUUGAUCCGAAUAACUCAAAUAACUCGAACUAUUUAAUUCAAAAUUUAAAUUUUUCAUUGAGUUUUUCGAAUUGAAUUAGAUUUUGCUCACCUCUAUUAGAUAUGCAUGCUGCAUCGUAAUAAAAAAUUUAAAGAAUAUUUUACUAUUCAUUAAAAAAGAAAUUUUUAUUGAUUUAUAGAAUCUUAAAGUAUUAAUUAAAACAUUUUUAAAAGUACAACUUCAGACCGUUCUAUUAUUUGUUUAGAAAACGAUCUUCAAUUAGUUAAUUAAUGGAUACUUUAUGGUCACAAUCUUGGCAAAUUCAGUUUAAGUAGAUGCUCUAGUUGCAUGGUGUGGUAGAGGUUGGAACUUAAAUGUUGCUAUGGUUUUUAUUCCAUUCCAUUAGUUGGGAUACAAAUCCGAACAAAUUACGUGAUGAGAGAGUGUCAUAUUAGUUGAAUCGGAUUUUGAACUUUUGUAUAUUGUUUAGCCUAUUAUGUGUUUGAAAGUCAUGUAAUUUGCAAUAUAUAAAAUGUGCAAUUUGAUCAAUUUCUAGUUCAUUGAAUAUUCAUAUUUCAGUGAAGCUUGUCCUGACAAUCUAGCUUAUUGCAGCAUGUCGUAUAUGAUUAGUCACUUCUACCGACAGUGGACAUCCUGAAUAAAAUUAAUUGGCAAUGGUGAUUUAAUCCUACAAAAGGAGCAAACGACAUGCUGUACUUAUUGCAGCAUGCCUUAUAUGAUUAGUCAUUCAGUCUCCCUUUCUCCCUUAUUCCUCACCGACUUAUCUUCCUUUCCAACUUUAAGCCAACUUAAAUGAAUCGACCCUCCUUAGCACCACCACCUUCUCUUCCUUGUUGAACACACACUUAUAUAAACAAUUGGUACAGUGAGUAUAGACUGAGCCAUGACUUCCUCUCAUACUAAACCCAACAAACUUAUCCACCUUCACUAACUCAGCAAACUCAACAGCUCCAAUGACCCCCAUUAACCCCAUCGCCCUUGAGCUUCCUUCAAGCCAAACUCUAACCCAGUUGUCUGCUACUACCUAUUGUACCUCUCUUCCAACCCUCAGUGUUGUUCUCUUGACCUCUUGCACUAUUUUCUUAACCUUUUCUAUCUCUCCCCCAGUUUGUUGUAUCACUCUCUUAGCAUCUUCCACCACUCUUCUAGUUGCUUGCAUCACUCCCUCAAUUGUCAACCCAUAGUCCUAGCCUAUUUGUGCCACAUCAGCUUCAACCAACCCCUAGUGUCUCUUCCUCUAACACUAAGGAGCUCCUCUUGGCAUGCUCUCUCCUCCUGUCUCUUCACUCCACCUUCCAAGGUGGCUACUACCAUCAUCCCAGUGGAUCAAGCCUCUCAACAACAACCCUCUUACUCUCAACACCAAGUCAUUAGGAUGUAAGAGAAAAUGUGACACAAAUAAUUAUACUUAUUUGGUUUAAAAAAUAUAUAUUCAUUUCUUUAAAUGUUUACAAGUGAAUCAAAAUAAAAAUUCUAUGUAUACAUUUGAACCAAAUCAAACUUCAUGUAUCAAAUUACACAUUGAAAUGAAGUUCAUAUAUAAUUUUGAUAUUUAUACUACAUAUAAUAUGAUUUGAACAUAACCAUAAACAUUAAAGCUUUACUUUGACAAUUUCGAUCAUAAUCACAUUUGAUUUUAAAAAAAAAUAUUUUUUUAUAAAUAUAUUUUAUACAUAAAAAAGUUCACCCAAAAGUGUGUAAUAAUUUAGUAUAAUAUAUAUUUAUGUAUAUAUACAUUGAUAUCUUUAAGCAACUUUGUAGGGACUUGAAGUGACCACAUAAACAUACACCUUAGAAGGCCGCAAAUAUUAUUAUAUUAUUUUACUUUGUUUAUUUUACUUUUUGAUCCUUCAACUGUGUAUGGAUCAAAUCGAAAUUCAAUAGCAUAUUCUAUAAAAUUCGAGGUUGAAUAAUAUUUUUAAAUUAGUAGAAUUAAAUGAGAAUUAAAUUGUUUUUAUUUAUAUUCCCAAUAAAUUAGUUUAAAAAAUUCAUUCAUUAUUGUUUUUAUUAUAUAUUUUUUGAACAUUAAAAGAGCUUUAUAAGAUUCCCAAUUGUGUCAUCUAAAUGCAUCCAACUCACGUGAUGAUAUGAUUUUGUUUAAUUUGACAAAAUCAGAAAAGAAUGAGGUUGGUUUUAUCAAUAAAAAUGUUUAUUUUUAACUUUAAUCCGGUUCGGGUUUUGUUCGGAUUGACCAGUAAGAUCAUUUUAUUUUUUUAAAUAAAACUUUAUCCAAUCUAAUAUUUAUAUAUCAAGUCAGUUAUGAAACUACAGAUCAUAUCUAUUUUUUAAAAUUAUAAUUGAUAUUAUUAUGACGAUACAUUUAUCCUUUCAUAAUUUUAUAUCAUCUUCAAAUAGAAAUAAUUAUAAAUUACAAAUCUAAGAAUUAAACACGCACUGAAUAGUAUUAAAAUGUAAAUUUAUUAUCACUUCGCCUAUAUUCAUCAUUGAAUAAACAAUAAUUCGAGUUGAUUAGGCACGGGUCAAAAAUUAACAUUUUUAAGUUCGGUGAUUGGUUCGGAUAGCGGCCCAAACCUAGCUCUUGGUUAAAUUAACAUUUUUUAUACUCAAUUAGAUAUCACAUAGUUGACUGAUACAUUAUGAAAAUGAAGGGGUCUUAGUGAUAAUUUUUUUUAUAUUUGAAUUCCAAUCUUUACUUUUUUUGGUGGGUUUUGAUUAAUUAGUCCAAAACACAUUAUCAUAAUAAUAUGCUUAUUUGUGUCCAGUGAAGAUAGUGAUGUAUCUAUAAUAAUAAUUGGGCUAGGGGUGAAGCUAGAAAAUUUUUGGGGGGCUGAAAUGAAAUUUUAAUUUUUAAUAGUCUACAUCUUAUCAUUUUUAAAGGAUUAAUUUAAAUUUUCAUAAUUUUAGAGGAGGCAAAAGUGAAAUUUUACCUUUACUAAUUUAAAAUUUUAAAAUUUUCUAAAGAGCCAAAACAACAAAUUUCCAUUUUAGGGGGGACGGGGCUCUGCCAACCCCUCUGGAUUCGCCUCUGACACCAACACAGUUAGGGAAAUUACAGAAAUAUUUUUUUUUUAUAAUUAAAAUAAGUUAUAUUACUCGAAGGUAUUUUAAUCUUUUUAUUUUAAUAAAAAUAAAUAAAAAUAUGCAUAUGGUAGGAUUUGAAUCCACAUCAAUUAAAUUGGUAAAAUCUUAUAUUUACUACUCAACCAAAGAUUCUUUUUAAUAUAUUUUAUAUAUUUUUAUUUUAAUAUGCACAAUUACAUAUUUCAUAUGUUAUUAUGACUAAUUAGAUUCAAAUCUUAUGUUUUAUUAUUUUUGUAUCUUAUUUUUAAACCUAUACGUGUUAUCUAAAUUCAUGGUUAUCGCACGCAUAUGCAUGUGUUAGUGUUUCUCGUAUUAAUUUAGUUUUUCUCGUAUUAAUUAUUCUUGUGUUUGUAUUAGAGUUGUGAAGAGAACAUGAAAAACUUUGUCAGUAAAAAUAUUUUGUUUAUAUACAACAUGAAAAUAAUACGAGUACAAAAAUAGGUUAAAAUAUAAGUAAAACAAAUUGUUAGCAUCUAAAAAUUAUUUAAAGAAUAGACAACUGUUCAAUUUUAAGUUCAAUCAGUUUUUAAUCUGACUUUAUUGUUGGUUCAAUUGAUUUAUAGAUCAACUGGUCCAAUCAUUUAUAAGAUUGAUACAUUGAUUAAUUUUCUAUCCAAUUAGUUUGAUCAGAUUUUGAAAAUUGUGUAAAUACCUUUGGAUGGGAUGAAUAUUAUUUAUUGAAAUAUGUUGAUAUAAGGUGCUCGGAUUACAUAUUGUGAAAUAUAUUUAUGUUUAAAGAGUUGGUUAUUAGAUAUAGUAAGACAUAUUACACUUUUAAGGGAAAAACCAAGAUUCAAACUCUGAAAGUGAUAUUGUUACAAGAGACAAAUAUAAAUCUCAACAUGAACUUUAAAAUAAACAUGAAAAAUACCAAAAUAAAGUUGUCGAAACCAUUUUUUUGAAAACAAAAUUUAGUUGUCGCCUUUAAAAACAAAAAACUAGAGUCGCCACCGAUCCUUUAUUGAGGUGUGAUCGGCCCACCUUAAAAAUGAUUUUGGUCUACGAAAUUUGAGAAAACGAGUUCGGGAGUCAGUUAUGCACGAGGAAGGGUUAGCAUCCUCGUGAUGCCCUAAAAUCGGUACCAAAUUGAUUAUUUAGUGUCUUAGUGUCGAGGGUUAAAGAAAUUUAAAAAACUCAAAUGAUGAAAUCUGAAAAGGAUAAUCAAUUGUUCAAGUUAGACGAAGAAAUUGAGAUCCAAUACGUUAGGGUACAAUUUCUCAAAAUCCCCAAACUUUGAAUAUGGCUUUUAUUUUAUAAGAAAAUCUUCAUUUCGAGAAAUAAAUAUGUCAUGUCCAAUACAUUAGGACACGAGUUAAAUUCCCUAAAAUGAUUUUUACAUUUAUGCGUUUUGAAAAAGAUAUGCUCGAUUAUUUAAGUUUAACAAGGAAAAUUGGAACCCAAUACGUUAGGGCUCAAUCUUCUCGAAAAUCCCAAAUAUCGAAUAUCGCAUUAUCUUGAAAGCCUUUGAACAAAAAUGAUUUUAAUGCUUUAAUGAAAACAUAUAUUUUCUUUGAAAGCAUGAUAAAAUGUUAAUAUACAACAUGGAACACAUACGUUAAUUUAAAUUAUAUGUAUAUGUAUUAUAAAAUGUCAAUGCAUAUAUAUACAUGUAUACAAAAUUUAUGAAAAUAAAAGAAUAAUAAAAAAUAUAUAAAAUGUGUACAUGUAUUUACAAAAUAUGUAUAUAUAUAUAUUUAUGAAAAUAAAAUAAUAAAAAAUGUAUUUAGGUUUAUACAGAUGUAUAUAAAUUGUUAAAUAUAUGAAAAAAAUAGAAAUUUGAAUAUAUAAAAAUUAAAAUAUGUAUGUAUAUAGGUAUAUAUAUGUAGGUAUGUAAAAAAAAUUAUGAAAAUAAAUAAUAAAAACGUAUAUAUAAAAGUAGGUAUAUGUACAUAUUUACGAAAGUAAAGUAAAACAAAUGUUUUUGGAAUUAAAAUAUAAAAGAUAUAUAUGUUUUGUAAAAAAUGUAUGUAUUUAUAAAAAUAGAAAAAAUAAUAUAUUAAGAAAUUAUGAAAAUGUAUAUAUAUGUAUAUGAAAAUUAUGAAAAUAAGAUAAUAAAAAAAACCAAAAGUAGGUAUAUGUGUAUAUAUUUACAAGAUAAAAAAAAUGUAUAAGUAUACUAAAUCAUGAAAAUACAUAUAUGUAUAUAUUUAAAUACUUAUAUAUAUGUACAAUAUGUAAAUGAAAUAAUGGGAUAUAUGGAAUAAUAAAAAAUAUUUAAAAAUAUAAAAAUAUAAAAAGGGUAUAUAUAUACUAUAAAAAUGAACGUAUGUUUUGAAUUAUUAAACAUGAGAAAUAUGUGCUAUAAAAUGUGUAUGUAUAUGUAUAGGUGUAAUAAUAAUAAUAAUAAUAAUAAUAAUAAUAAUAAUAAUAAUAAUAAUAAUAAUAAUAAUACAAUAACAAUAAUAGUAAUGCAAUAUAACAGUAUAUAAAAAAAAACCCUAAAAGGACAGGUUAAGGAUUAAAAUGAAGAUAAACGGAAUUUAAGGGCCAAAUUCGAAGAUAGAAAAACACGAAAAGGGACCGAAUCAAAACGCGCGCAACAGGAGGAGGACCCAAAGGGAAAUUUACCCAACCACUCAAACGCUGCGUUUUAAAGGGAUUAAAAUAAAAAAAAUUAGAAACAAAUGAGGCAAAUCUAGAAAAUAAAAACACCCAAAUUAAAACAAUGAAACAAACUCGAAGGCUUAAAACCAUAAAUUUCCCCUUUUGGGGGAAAUGCGCGGACCCCACUUGUGGGUCAGGUCGACGCGCGGAUCUCCCCCCUAAACGGCGUCAUUUUGUUUUUACUAUUUAAACUAAAAUUUUUAACAAAAAAAAAACAUUUGCAGCUAAAACAAACAAAAAAAACUCAAAACUCUUUCUUUUUUUUCUCUGUUAGGGUUUCACUCCUCACCCUUUGACGCCGCCACUCAUUCGUCCUCGUACCAGAGCUCCGAUUACGACGGAGAUGGCCUCGAAUCGGCGACUCCAACAAAGAGGUAAGCUUCUCCUCACUCUUUUUUAUAAAAAAAACAGAGAAAGGAAAAAAAAAUGAACACCAAAAAUAAAACGGAAAAAAACCUUUGUUCAAAAAUUUCGAAUCUGUAUUUUUCUUCUCUUUUGAUUUCCUUUCUUUUGUCUUUUUUCCCCCUUUUACGUAUCUUUAUUUGGCUUUAUAUAGCCAAUAAAUAAAUAAAAAUAAAAUAAAAAAUCUCGAAAACCCCCUCUUCAUUGUUUAUUAUUCGUUUUCCCUUUAUUUGCUAUUGUUGUUAGUUGUUUGUAGGUGCAGGUACAACUGGAGGCAAGACGUACGUGGGGGAGGGUCGUGCUGUGACAUUCGCGACGACGUACGAGGGUGAGAUUGUUGCGGCGGCUACUAGGGUUUCUGCUAUACCCUUUGUGUUUUUGGGGCUAGUAGAUUAGGGUUAGCAAUUUGGGCCUUAUUGGGCCGAAUUAUUUGGGCUAUGUAAAUGGUUUUUUAGCCAGGCCAAAAUUGGCCUAUUACAGCUGCCCCUCUUUGCUUGUUAUUGUGUAAUGAGAACGGAGCAAAAACUUUAGAAAUGGCCAAUUUUGCCUGGCCAUGCUAAACUUCGGGGCUCUUUUCCCUUCAAGUAGCUUCUCUACUUCAAAUAGCCUCAUUCCUUCCUACUGCAUCCUCAGAGGUAUGGGAACUGGUGCUUCAAUCUACUUCAUUGCAAUGUCGGGGAGAUAGGAUUCAUACGUUGUAGCUUCUCAAAAGAACAAAAUUUGCUAUCUUUAAUCCGCUCCACAACAACUUCAAGGAGAUAAGAUUUAUAACUUCAACUUGUUCUGCUACAACUUAAAGAUAAAUCUGAUGCGAUCUGCUCUACUGCAACUUCAGAGAGAUGAGAUCUAUGGUUUUAAUCCGCUCCACUGCAAUUUCAGGGAGAUAGGAUUGGAUGUGAUCUGCUCUACUGCAACUUCAGAGAGAUAAGAUCUGUGGUUUUAACCCGCUCUACUGCAACUUUAGGGAGAUAAGACUUGUAUCUUCGAUCUACUUCACUGCUAAUAUUAGGGAGAUAAGAUUAGGGUUAGCAAUUUGGGCCUUAUUGGGCCGAAUUAUUUGGGCUAUGUAAAUGGUUUUUUUUUAAGUAAACACCAAAUUUUUGGGCAAAAGAAGUUACUAGAGACUGAAUUUACAAUGAGUUUUUUUUAUCGAAAUUAGGGUGUUAACUGUCGGUAAUAAUGGUUAAAACUUUCAUUAUAGGUGUUCUCUAAAAAGUUAUGUUGCGAGUCUCAAGAUUCAAUUUCAGAUCCAUGAGUAUGAUAUGCUUACACUACCUCAAGGCUCAACUAAGCUGUCAAUUGUCAAGCUGAAAAUAUUAGUCAACUUGUGACAGAUAUUUGUAUGGAAUCCAUGCAUUUAUGGAUUAAGAUGUCUUCAUAGCGUUCGAAGAUCUAUCUCUUAGCUUCGAAAUGUAAUUUGAAUCACUCAAUUUCAAGUUCAGGAACUCAAGUUAUGACUGUUUUAGUGAAGAUUGCGCGAGUAGAAUUUCGAGACGAGAUUAUGGCGUGAAUUACGAGUUUUGGGCUUUUAAUUCGAGUUUAAAUCAUAUUGGGUUCAAAUUUUAGGCUUAAUUUUGUUAUAUACGAGUCCAAUAUUUUAUUUAUCAUCUCUCAUUAUAUUAUUAUUUUAUUCUAAAUUUUUUAUAAUUAUGAAGUAUUUUAAGUUAUUUAGGAGUUUUAUCUCAACAAGAAAGUUUAGUUUAAAACUACUUCUUGUUUAGGUUAAUUAGAGUUCUAGUAUACUUAAGGCCCUUACAUUGUACACAAAAAUUUAAUUUUUUUAUUCAACUUCUCUUUUGAGUUAAUAAAUUCUUUUUGAGUAUUUAUUUUCAAAGAUUUUCUCUUUAGUUUUCUUUUAGAAAAGUUUUAACAAUAUUUUCAGAUUGCGGGGAUAACUUUAAAUUUUUUAAUCUAACUUGGAUUCGUUUACAUUUUAGGUUUGUGUCAAAAUCUAAGUUUAUUUUCGAACAUCUAAAGCCUUAAGUCAAAUUUACGACUUGAACAAACUGACGAUCCUCUUCCGCAUUUAUCCACACUCAUUUCUUUAUUAAGCUAAAUGGCUAGUUAUGAAAUGUACUCCAUUCUUAUGGACCAAGAUCGAACUCCAACUUUAUAAUUAAGAGAGAAAGUAAACAAUCACCACACCACAUUUCAUGAUUACAAGAAUUUAUCUAUUUUAUUCAUAGUUUCAUAUGAUAGUGAUCAUAAACAUUUAUUUUAAUCAAUGUUUAUUGAGUUAAAUAAGCAACUUAUACCUCUUAAGUAAAAGUAAAAAUAUCAAAUUCAUUUUUUUUUAAAUUUAGAUAAAUAUAGCGUUUGUUAAUAUCAUGUUCAAGUCUGACCCAUGUACAUCUCUAAUGAUCAUCAUUUAUUUUUAUUAUUAAAAAUCAAAUUAUGACACACUCAUGACCUAUGGUGAAGUCAGAACAAUUUUUUAGGGUGGCCGAAUGAAAUUUUAAUUUUUUAUAAUCUAUAUCUUUAUAAUUUUUAAAGGAUUAAAUCAAAUUUUUAUAAUUUUACAUUUACUAAUUUAAAAUUUUAAAAAAAUUUAAGGAUGUAAAUAACAAUUUUACAUUUUAGGGGGCAAAACCCUGCCAGCCCCCUCGAUUUGAUUUCUGGUAAAUCAUUGAUUCAUCUGGUGUUUAACUAUAUUUAUUUACAAGUUUACUAGAUUGAAAUUUUAUGAUGUUCAAAAAUUUAUAGAUCCCAUGUCACAUUCAGUAAAAAUUUAUGAUACAUGUAUUGGGUGUACUCAAUGUGUCCGAGCCUGCCCCACCGAUGUGUUAGAAAUGAUACCUUGGGAUGGAUGUAAAGCUAAGCAAAUCGCUUCCGCUCCAAGAACAAAAGAUUGUGUUGGUUGUAAGAGAUGUGAAUCCGCUUGUCCAAUGGAUUUCUUGUGCGUUAAAGUUGAUUUAUGGCAUGAAACAACUCGAAGUAUGGGUCUAGCUUAUUGAUACGGUCCAGAAAACCCUAGUUGAAUACAUUUUGAAUCCAUUUGAUUUUUUUUACUGAAAAAAACCUGCUAAUGACCUAGAUAAAAAAUUAAUGUUAUAUAUAUAUAUAUAUAUAUAUAUAUAAAAUAAAAAAAAGGUUUUUAGUUGAAAUGAUAAAAUUGAGGUUUUGAGAUUUUGAUAUCUUUAAUUCAAAUUGGACUAUGUGUGAGUUUUUUUAUAAAUUUUUUAUAAAUUUAAAAAUUUAAUAAUAGUAUAUAUAUCAAUCACUUUCCUUUUCAACCUUUAAAGAUGUUGGCCUAAUAAGAUUGGAUCACAACUAGAUUUCUUUUUUUAAGUGAAGGAAUUAAAUUAAAAUUAAAAUUAAAAUUUAUUAUUUAAAAUAAUAUUAAAAAUAAAAUUACUUUAUUUUAUAAUUAAAUUUAUAUAAAAUGUUUCUAUUUAUUAAAUAUGAAUUCCAAUGACUAGUUUAAAUAUUGUUGAAUUUUUUAAAAUAUAUUUUAUUUUUUAUAGAAAAAUAUAUUAAAAUCUAAAUUUUCAUCCAUGAGAUUAAUAGGAAGUUUUGUCUUAAUUGGUUGAUUAAAUUUAUCUUAAUUGAUUAUUUUUUGAACAAUCUCAUUAUAAGUUAUGAUUAUAUCUAUUUUUAAUAUAAUCUCUCGAACAAUCUUAUAUCGGUGUAAAAGUAAAGUUGUUUUACCUUCUUUCAUAUCUUUUUGUAUGAUUAAAAUUUUAAUGAUCUAACUGUUGAAUUUAUUAAUAUAAUUGUACUUGUUACGCAUGUAAAUUUUCAAACCAAACUGGUGUCUUUAUCAUAUUGAUCUAAAAUACUAUAUCUAUUAAUAUUUAUUGAGCGUAUGCAUUUUUUACAUAAAAUAAAUAGUUAGAAAAUUUUAGUUUAUAUCGACUUUUAUAUGCAUGAUCUAUAUAAAUGGAAUACAAAAUAUGACGGUUGGAACAUUAAAAUAUUAAUCGUACAAAAAGAUAUGAAAAAAAUGUAAAAACAACUUUAGUUUUACAUUUAAUUUUGUAUCUUAUACCGGUGUAAGUAGAUCCCUCCCCUUUCAUUUUUAUUAUUAACAUGUUAUUUUUAAGGUUUAGAUAAUUUUAUUGAUUAAAUUUAUUAUAUUUAACUUAGAAUAUUAAAAUAAAAAAGGUUUUAACAUAAUGACAAAAUUAAAGUAUUGAAAAUGUAUUCUCAACUCAUGUUAGUUGUUCAUAAAAAUGUAAAAACCCAAAAUGGGUGUGGGUUUCUUCUCUUUUGAUUCUCUUCUUUUUUAGUUUGUUUUUUUUACUUCUCUCUUUUGAUGCAAGCCAAUUUGGGAUUCUUGCUCUUUUUUUGCUGGUUUGAUUUUGGAUGCUUGCUAUUUGGUAUUUUUGUUUUUGCUAAUUUUUGUUGUUUAGUCGUUGGUUUUGAUUCGAAGCUUCAUAACAUCGCCACAAGCAGGAGCUCCAACUAAACCGAUGCCGAUGAACGGGUUGUGAUGUCAUCUCCUUGACGUUAGCCCAAUCAGCCGUUUUGAUGUCAGACUCAGCAUUUUCACCGUCGAUUUUUAAUUUUCACUAUUAUGGGAAAAAAUCAUGCUUCACGAUAGCUAAUAACUUUUCUAGGUUCCGUGUGCCAAAAUUUUUUCUCCAAUUUUUUUUCCCAUUCUGGGCCUAAUUUUAGGUAAAAUCCAUGUCAAUCUGCCACAUUUGCGAAUUGGGUUAAUUGGGUUUCCAAUGUGGCAAGUUAAUUGUCCACAUCAGCGAUCCUAUUAAGACAAUAAUAGAAAACGUUAAUAAAUGAUUCAUUUGUCAGUUUUUAAUAACAUUAGUGACUGUUUUGUUAUUUUUUUAAAGUUGAGUGACUAAAAUAAAAUCUAUGUGAUUGUUUUGUCAACUAUUAGUGACUAUUGAUGUAAUUUACCCAAAAUAGAAUUUAUUGCAUCUUUAUUUCAUUUUUAAUAAUUUACAAUAUUAAAAUGAUAAAAAUAUAUAAUUUUAUAUUAUUAUCUAUUUAUUUUUAUAAAUAAAUUUAAAUAAAAUUAUUUUAAAAAAUAUUUAAUUGAAAUUCAGGUUAGGCCGGGUUGAAAACAAAAAUAAAUUCUUUGAUACACACAGGAAUGGAUCGUGGUUGUGGGAGUAUACUAGAAAUAUGGGAUGUUGCUCGCUGCUUGAAGCUGAAUUGUGGCUCAUUUUGGACGGUUUGAAUCUUCUUUGGAUCCAAGGCUUUAGACGUGUGGAGAUUGUGAGCGACAGUGCUGCUGCUGUCCGCAUCAUAUUGGAUGAGUCUGCUGCUAAGCAGAGUAUAUCGCACAAUUCGAGUUCUUUAUAAUCGGCAAAGGAAGGUCAAGAGAUACAUCACAUUGUCCGGAAAGCCAAUGCGUUUGGCCUAAGCAGGCUGCUGAAUCCACCGCCUGCUGCACUGAGGAGCAUUCUUUGCAAGGACGGUACAGGGAUUGUUGGGGAUAGGCUGAAAUCACUACCCUCCUUUAUAUAAACAUUCAACCCUUUAUUACUCAACACACGUAGAUCAAUGCCAUUAAAUCACCUUAAUAUUUAUUUCAAUCCCUUUUAUUCUCAACUCAUGUUUCGUUGUUCGUACUAAUGCCCCUAUUUUAAAAUUCACAAGCAAUACUUGUAUAAGCCCAAUUUUUAUGCCCGGGCCCAAUUAACCCUAAACCAAUAAACCCACCUAAAACAACCCACUAACCCUCAGCCCAAUAACAAACCUAUUACAAGCCCACUACCCCAAAACCCAAAUGGCCCAAAACCAAGCCCAACUAGCCUAACCCAGCCACCCAAAGGCGAGGCCCAAUGCCCAGGCCCAAUUUUCCCAAAGAAUUUGCCUAGAUAGGCGCCGCCUCUUUGACCUUAGGCAUUCUGACGCCGCCGGACGUCCCAUCCGCAACGCCCACGGUCACGUCGACCACGCCACUUGCGCCGCCUGUCACCUGCAAAGAAGAAAACAACAAAAACAACAGAAAUAGUAGCAAAAAUCGGCUAUAAAAGCCGAACAUGUAACUCUUUUCCUCUCUCUUCUGGCAACUUUUGUAUCAAAAAAAAGGAUUCAAUCGAAAGAAAAUAAAAAAGCAGAUUCAAAGUUUUUUUUUUCUUUCUUUUCAGUUUUGAAGUUUUUUUAUUUUGUUCUCUUUUCUUUUCGUGCACAUCUAUAUAAAUAAAUAUAGUGAAAAAGGGGAAAAAGAAAACCUUACCUGUGCCGCGCCGGAGGGGAAGGAAGGCGAACGAUUUCACCCCAUUUUCGGGUCUUCGGCCUUUGUUUCACGAGAUUCGGCCCCAGAUCUGUGGCCUGGAGGCCAUAGGCUUCAAAAAGGGACCAAAAAGGUCUGAUUUUAAGCCAUCGACCGCUGCACAUGGUGGCGCUACGGUGGGAACUCGUCGGAGUUGAAGGCCGGAGGUUUUGGAGAGAAAGAGGGGGAGAAGGAUUUUUUUUAGAGAGAAUCUGUUUUUUUUAAGGGGGCAGAAAAUGAAGUUAAAAAAAAACUUUGAUUUUAUAAGCAUUUAAAACGGCGCCGUUUUGUGCCAUAGCCCCAGGCGUUAAAACGACGCCGUUUCUCCCCAGAUCCGCGCGUCGACCCGACCCGACCCGACCUGAGGAUCCGCGUAUUUUUAAGUUUUGGGUUAUUUACCCAUUUGGCCCUUCUGUCUUUUUGGGUGUUUUAAUUUAGUCCUAUUUGCACCUUUUCAUAUUUUAUAAAUUUCGCCCCAAUUUUUUUUAGUGUUUUUAAUUUAGUCCCAGGUCCUACGAAGGGACACGUGUCCUAAUAAUUGGGAUAGUUUCUUAUUCGGCCCUUCGCCCUUUCGCGGUUUUCCAAAUUGGUCCCUCCGUAUUUAUUUUAUUUCAGUUUCAGCCUUUAACUUUUAUUUUUAUCUCUGAUCAGUCCAUUUGUGUUUAUUUUGUUAUAUUAAUCUAUUUAUUAUCAUACUUAUAUUUUCUUUUUAUAUUUAUUUACCCAUUAUUAUAUUAUUGUAUUAUUAUUAUUAUUAGUUUUAUUUUCCCUUAUUUAGUCAUUAUAAUUGUGUUAAUACAUUAACUAGUUUUUUAUUUAUUUUAGCUUUGUUUUCAUAAUAUAUGUAUACAUACAUAUGUAUAUUUUUAUAUAUAUGCGUACACAUGUACUUUUUUAUACUUUAUAAUAUUUAUACCUAAAGAUAUUCACGUUUAUAUAUAUAUUCCAUUUUCAUAAAUAUACAUACAUAUAUAUAUAUAUAUUUGCUUAUUCUUUAUAUUUUUUAAAAUACCUAUCUUGUAUAUACUCUUUAUUUUAUGAUUUAAAUAUGUGCCAAUAUAUACUUCUUAUAGUUGAUGAUUGCUAUAUAAGUAUGUAUGUACAUACACUUACAUAAUUUUUCAUGUAUAGUAGUUUUUUAAAAAAGGGUGUAUACAUGCAUAUGUUUUUCAUACUUUCAUCAUUUUAUACAUAUACAUAUGUUUAUAUAUCUUUUAUAAUUGUAUGAUUUUGUUAAUUUUGUUCACUCAUUUAUUUAUAUGUUUAUUAUUGUUUUCUUACUUAAUUAGUUUCUUUUUACUUGUUAUUUUGCUCGUAUAAUUGUUUUUAUUGUUUAUUAUUUUGCUUGUAUCAUUUUAUUUACAUUGUCAUCAUUAUUAUUAUUUUGCAUUCAUUUCUACUCGGAUUUAUCCAAAAACGGAAAAUUUCAAAAUAAAAAUAACACUCGAUAUUUGAGAUCUUCGAGAGAAUUGAGCCCUAACGUAUUGGGUUCCGAUUUUCUUUGUUGAAUCAAAAUAAUCAAGAUUACUCUUUUAUAAAAAAACAUAAAUAAAAAGCUCAUUAUCGAGAAUUCAAUACGUCGUGUCCUAAUGCAUUGGAUGUGACACGUUGAUUUCUCGAGAUGAAGAUUUUUUAAAAUAAAUGCAAUAUUCAAUGUUUAAUAUUUUGAGAAACUGUGCCCUAAUGUAUUGGGUUGCGAUUUCUUCAUUUGAUUUAAACAAUUGAAUAUUCUUUUAAACUUUAUUACACAAAUCUUUUCAAACUCGAGUUUUAAACGAUAUCGGGAAUUAAAAAAGGAUCGUGUCCUAACUUACUGGUCGUGAUCUCUUUUUAAUCCAAGAUAGUUAAAUAUCUUUUAAAUAAGCAUUUUUCAUUCGCGUAUCGGGAAUUCGAGACAUUGUGUCCUAACUUACUAGAUGUGAUUCUCUUUCUCGAAUAACGUGCAAUAUUCCCCUUUUCCUGAAAAUUUUCAACGUUUUAAUACAAGCAUCGUAUUUUUAAAAUUCUUCAAAGUUCUCAAUUUUUCGACAUUAAGACAUUAACUAAUCAACUAGGUACCAAUUUUGGACGUUACGAGGGUGCUAAUCCUUCCUCGUACGUAACCGACUCCCGAACCCAUUUUCUGAAUUUCGUGGACCAAACUCGUUUUAAUAAAAUCAAAUCGUUUAUUAAAAACAACCACUUUUCAAGGUGAUCCGAUCACACCUCAAAAAUGAUUGGUGGCGACUCCCAUUUUCGUUUUCGUUUUUCAAAACCCAAGUCGACCCCAUUUUUUAUCAAAAAAUGGUGUCAACAAUACUGGUUUUCCCUUAAUUUCUUAACAUCACCACCAAAAAGAUCAAGGAGUUGCUAAGAUCAAGAUCAACAAGCUACACAAGUCAGAACAAAAUCAACAAUAUUGAAAAUAGACACUAAACCUCAUUCUAGUUUCCACAAUCUUUUAUCAGUGUGUAAUGGUCAUGUACAACUGAUUCACAUUGCAAGUGAUAAUCUUUACACAAUUUGUGAAACAUUUCAGAGCAAGAUUGAUUUGUUAGAGUAUAUGAUAAGAUCCAAAAAUAAGGUGGCAGUGAAUAUAUCUGCAGAAAAGCCCUUACCAACCAUUUCCAUAAGAAGUUGUGUUGCCUUUGAGGUAUAGCUGUUGCGAAGGAGCCCCCGAAUCAUUACAUUAUAACAGCAGCUAUCAGGCAAACAAUCAUUAUCUCCCGAGCUCCCAAACAACCGGUAUGCUUCAUCUGGCAAUCCCUCUUUACACAGUCCACUAAUCAUUAUACAAUAUGUGUAAACAUCCGGUUUUAAGCCAUUGUCUGAGAGUUGAUGAAAUAAUUCCUUGGCAAAUUCGAUAUGCCCAGCUUUGCACAACCCAUCAAUUAGGAUAUUAUAUGGGACAAUAUCAAGUUCCAACCCACUGUUUCGCAUUGCUUGAAAAAGUUUCAAUGCCUCCUCAAUAUGACCUGUGUUGCCUAAACCAUCCAGCAAAAUCAAACAAGUCACUAAAUCUGGAACUUGUCCAGAAGCAAGCAUCUUUCUAAACAGUUCACAUGCAGUUGAAACUCUCCCUAACUGAAACAAACUCUGCAUAAGAAUGUUAUAUGUGACAGUAUUCGGGAUUGGUCUCUUUAGAGAUAUUUCAUGAAAGAGUUCCAUUGCUUCGUCUAACCUUUUACCUUUGCAAUAUCCAUUGAUCAUGGUGCUGUAAGUAACUAUAUCAGGUGCACAACCCUUCUCAAUCAUCAAGUUAAAAACUCUUCUAGC